AUGCAAUGGGGUAGGUUGUCUGUGAGCUCUUCUCCAGAGAGCACACUCCAUUUUGAACUGGACCAUGGACUUUUGUAAUUUUUAAGGAUUAUCCCCUGCCUGAUUUUCAUCACUGUAUCUGUUGAAUCCUGGCAAGACUUUGAUAAGUGAGUAAACCUUAUAUUUUUCUUGUUUACUUAAAUGGUCUGAGAGUGAUAUCUUUGUUAAGAGGGAAACCUAAAAGGGAGAAGAUAAUCCAAGUUUGCCUAAGCAUCCUUGGAUAUCAGACUUGUUCUAGAAGGUUAUACAACCUUGUCCUAAAAGCUUCUGGAGUUGAGUUGCAAAUAGAUGGUGAUAUUACUCUGAUGAAAUAGGUAUGUGCAUUCUCACACUAGUGAAAAGAGGAAGGAUGAUUAAUAAGUAAAAUAUCCUCUCCUACUCAUCUAAAUCCAUCCAACAAUUCUCAUGCACAAUGUCUCUCCCCUUCAACCCCUGGCAUUCUCUGCAUUGAGCAAGGAAGGUCUGCAGGGGGUUUGUACUUGCAAUUGCUUGAACAUGAGUUGCGUAAUCAGGGACCAUGAUAAAGUUGUGUUGAGGGUUGCACUUCAGUAGAAACCUCCAACAGACACUCUCCCUUGUGUGCAUCCUGUGCCUCAUACAAAGAUACAGAGUUUGCAUUUUCAGGCAAAUACCAGAACUUGCCUAAAGAGAUGUACCUUUCUCCCAGAGUUAAUGAUGUACUCAGGAGUCAGCAAACUUUUUCAGUAGGGGGCCAAUCCACUGUCCCGCAGACCUUGUGGGGGGCUGGAUUAUAUUUUUUGGGGAAAAGAACGAAUUCCUAUGCCCCACAAAUAACCCAGAGAUGCAUUUUAAAUAAAAGGACACAUCCUACUUAUGUAAAAACACACUGAUUCCCGGACCGCCCGCAGGCCAGAUUUAGAAAGCAAUUAGGCCGGAUUCAGCCCCCGGGCCUUAGUUUGCCUACCCAUGCUCUAGACAGUCAAGUUUGACAUUCUGGACAUAUUGGCGUAGGUGAUUUUCAAAUUGCACAUCUUAGGCUAAAAACAUUGAAUAUUUUAUAUGAUGUAAUUUCCAAUAGUUUUUAUAGUGGGAAUGGGUAUAGUUGUUAGUGAAACAUUCUCAUAUGAUUCCUUCCAGGGUUGGAAGCUAAAAUCUAUGCAAGUAUUGAGCAAGAUAAGAUGCAGAAAUUGUAUGUUUUAGGAAGAUGGAAUGUGGUAGGCCCUCUGAAAGGAACGGAUGGGCCUUUGACUUUCAUUUUCUUACUUUACAACACAAUCUUCUUGUGGAGCUCUUGCAGUGAACCCCUGAUAAAAGCAGAAUUGGUUGUUAAAAUUUGACAGGCCUUUGCAAUCAGGUCACACACAAUGAGCAUGUUUCUGUUGAAAUCCAAGGACUGAAGUAUUUCAUUGCAAAGGCAAAGGAUUGCCUUAAUCUUUUAGUCAUCAGUGCAUUGAUUAUACAUUCACUGUUUAUGUGUCAAAUCUAGCUGUGCCUUUGUACAAUGGAAAUGUGUAAUAACAAUCCUUUUAAUGUCAUUUGUAUGUAACCUGAGAGAUGAAUUUGAAAGCGAUGAAUGUUUUUAAAUAGCACCUAUAAGCGUGAUACACAAAUAUAGCAAACUGUGCUCUAGGGUACUCAAACACUGGCUUCCUGAGCUUUUCAAAAUGCUACCAUUUUAAUCUUACUUGCCUCUUUUAUGCAUUUGUUCUUGACAAAGCACUCAGCUUAUAUUACUCAGAGUCUCAAACAAAGCCCUAGUUUUCAGUAAAUCUGGAACAAGGCAUAAAUUUAAGGAAAUGCUGGUGUCUACAAAACAUUAUGUUAGUUUACAUAGGUUAAGCUUAUCAUGUGCUACCUUGCCUCUUAUUGAUAAGCACAUCUUUCACACAAAAGGAAGACACUGUCAGUGAUAAAUGAUCUUCAGAACCAAUUUCACAACAAACAGACAAGUGUGUGAUAGUUUCAGUGAUUGUAGCGAAAAGGUUGGCUUAAUCUAAUCUCAGUUUCAACUCCAGUUUAAGUGUUUUGUGAUUACAGGCUGAUAGUGCUGCCUAGGAAGUAGCAGUGGCUAUUGGCAGUGAUUAUGGUACCUUCCUUUUGACAAAGAGAAUCCAUUCUGGAAAUCCCAUGAAUUUUCCCUAUUUAAACCCCAAUUAAAGCGCGUGAUUUCACCCUUCUUGUUCCCAUUCCAAGAGGACAGGUAAGCCUAUAUCUGUAAUGUGGCUCUCAUAAAUUGUUGUUGUUGUUGAUGAUGAUGAUGACUUCACACUGGCUAAAAACACUCAAAGGAAGGAUCAGGCUGGAUUCUCACAAAAUGAAUAAAGAGACUAGUGCCUGCACGUCUUGCCUCAUAUCUCAGGCUGCUGCAUGCUGGAAUGGAAAGGGGGAGCAGCAAAGUGUCACUGAGGUCAGCAUAGGGCUAACACACCAUCUGCUUUAUGGGUCAACUUCUGGGCAUCACAUGCUAGUGGUGGGCAGGACCAAUGGUCAAAAUGCACAGACGUGAAUUAUCUAAAGGACUGUCACAUCCUAGAUGGGGUAAGCUUGUUUUCUGCUGCUCUGGUGGCUAGGACCUGAACCAAUGGACUGAAAUGACAAGGAAAGAGAUUCUGACUAAACAUCAGAAAGAAUUUUCGGUCUGUAAGAGCUCCUUCCUUGGAUGUUUUUAAGCAGAGGUUGGAUGGCCAUCUGAUCAUAUAUGAUCAAACCAUAGAAUUGCAGAGCUGGAAGGAGCCCUGGGAGCCAUGUAGUCUAACCGCAUUGCAGGCGGUUAGACUACAUGGCUCCCAGGGCUCCUUCCAGCUCUGCAAUUCUAUGGUUUUUGCACUGUAUGCUUGUUUCUACACACCCACUUAUCCCUCUCUUUCCUUCAACCUGGGAAAGCAAGAAGCAUUAUCAGCAUUCAAGGACUCAUUUCUGCCAAGCAAAAACAUCUGAGGGUGGAAAGCAGUGGUGGUGAAAGGUGUGACUCAGAAAGGUAUCUAAGAACAAUAGAAGAGCCUGCUGGAUCAGGCCAGUGGUCCAUCUGGAAUCCAUAGGGCCAGAUAGGGAAGACUGAAGGGCCACUAUAGGGCCCCUGGCCUCAGAUCCCCCAUCCCUACUUUAAAUCUUAGAAUGCAACAGGACCUGUGAGUUCUUUCCUUUGAUAUGUGAUUCAAAGUGAUACUUUCAGAAGGAACAUCAACAAGUCAGGGAAGGCUUUGAAGAGUAGCUUACAAAUGACAAAUGAUUUGAAGUUCAAUCGGUAUGAGAAAAGGUUGAAGAGACUGGACAUGUUUAGCCUCGAGAAAAGGAAGAUUAGAGGGGGAUAUGAGAGCGACCUUCAGAUAAUGUAGGUGAGAACCAUGCAGCCCUGUCUUGGGGGAAGGACAAAAAGAGAUAAGUUAAAGUGAUAAGCAGAGAGAUUUAGGCUCUAUACAAAGAAAAGCACACUUUUCAAAUGCAUGGAUAGUGAAACAUGGUGCCUAAGGAAGUGAUGAAAACUUGUUUGAGGCUGAAGAAAGGGCGAUACAGGCAUCUGGUGGCUAUACCAUUAAUAUAUAGUUUCCAGCCUCAGAUUGUGGAGUUAGACAGCAAGGCCCCUUCUAACGUUUUGUUUCUAAGCACCUGUCAUUGUAAAAAAAAAAAAAAAAGGAAGAUUAAUGGAUGACCAGAUCUUAUCUUUCCAUGUCUUCCCAGCUGAGAAAGGGCAGAAAGAAAUGAUAAAAGAUUAAGCAGCUUUUCACAUCUCCAAUUUAUAGCACUGGUCAAAGCCUUUCUAAAAUAUGUACUAGAGAGGUUCCAUCCAUUUGUUGGGAAAUUGUUCCCACAGAAGACUAGAGGUUAAUAUUCUCCAUAUCAUAUACAUCCUGAGCAAAUCUAUUAAAAGUCAAGAGGUUCACAAUGAGAACUAUUCUAGAUGUGAUUUGUCUUAGAAUGAAAUAACUCACAAGGAAAUUUUAUUUUCUUAGAUUCACAUCCCUUGCUAUCACAUUAGGGAUGAAUGAAUCUCUCAGUUUCUCAGUGUCCCAUUUAUAAGUUCCGUUCCCCCAAUUUUUACAUAAGGUUGCAUUAAAAAGAAAAGAAAUCCACAUGAAAUGCAUAAUAAUUUUGGGUGUGUAUUUUCCAAACACACAUUUUUGUACAUACAAUUGUCCAGUGUUCAUUUUUUCUACACAAGUUUGUCUGUUCCACACAUUUUGCAAACAAUGUUCCCUAAUAUAAUGCAUUUUUAUAUUGUUUUCACUAAUUGAUAUAUUUUUUGAUGUGCAUCAUUGUAUGAUUGGAUAGAUACCUGCAUGCAAAAUUCAGGGAAAUGUGAAUUUUGAAAGAUAGCUGUGUUUCAAUUCAUAUAUUGCAGUUGUGGGAAACCUUUCGCCCUUCAGAUGUUACUGAACUACAUCUCCCAUCAUCCCUGGCCAUUGACCAACAUUGACUUGUAGAGCCUUGAAACACUACAGCAAUGAGAGUGGGAAUGGUCAAACUUUUUUCCAUCAAGAGCUGAAUUAUCUUGGCGGUAAACUGCUUUCUGCCAGUGGGUGGGAUCAGAAAUUGCAGUGGGUGAGACCAGAGGUAUUUCAUACAAUUUCUCAUCCAGCCCUCUUUUUCCCUGCUUGAUAACCCUUAAACUAGUUAACUCUUUCCACUCCUGUGAUUCUAGUGAUUAUUGACCCCAUGCUGGUAUUCAGCUUUUUCCUAAGCUUAAUGGCAGUGAGUUGGGAGAGGGUUCCAUGAGCAGGAUCCAGAGGGUACUAUUUAAGGCCCAAGCAAUUGUGAUGAUGAUGAUGAUGAUGAUGAUGAUGAUGAUAAUUUUAUUAUUUAUAUGCCGUCCAUCUGACUGGACAAGAUGACAUUGAUUCCUGUUACAGGCCUUCUCUGUAGUAUCUUUCCAUUCAUGGAACAAAGCCUAGCACAAACUUUGUCAUAAUUUCAGUUUCCCCAGGCACUUGGACAGAAUAAUCAAUAGGGUAUUGUAUUGUUAAAUAUGUUUUUAAUAUAUGUAUGUGAUCGUACCACUGAAUUUUUUUACCUGCUUGCAAAUCGCUUUGGGACUCUUUUAGUUGGAAGUGAUACAUGAAUUUAAUAAACCUAAGCCUAACCAUUUCUGAUAGAACAAUGCUGUUAAAAAUAAAUUUUGUUCAUAUGGAAAGAAAUAAACUGAAUAAUGGAUCCCUUUUUUCCUCUUGAAACUGACAAGCUUCUAUUCUUUCUCAAAUAUCAGAUGGGCUUAAAAGUAACAUUUUUUGUACACUAUAAAACUGUAUUUUUCCUUUUAUAAAAAGGAAAGAAAAUCAGUCUUUAAAGCUACUAUUUGCCCUGAUAAGGAAAACGCGUGAAUAUGUGUAAAAUAUUCUUUCACUGGGAGAGUUAACUAACUAACUAACUAACUAACUAAUUAAAUUUGUAUACCACCCUAUACCCGCAGGUCUCUGGGUGGUUCACAGGAUAAAAUCAGAAUAUAAAAGCACAAAAUACAUAAUGAAAACAAAAACAAAAACAACCCAAUAACCCCCCUCCCCUGGAGAACGUUGUGUGAAGGCAAACACUACUCCAUUUUUGCCAUUGUCUGAAUAGUGCUUUCUUUAAGUGGCUAGUUUCUUUGUAAAACAAACAAACAAACAAAAACAAACAAACAAAUUAAAGAAAUGGGAGAUCCAGUAUGGAUCUCCAUUAUUGCAUGUAGCUUUGGCCUGAACAGAAAUUACCUCCAGUUGAUUUCUGCCAAUCCCUCAGUGCAGCUACGUUAUUCUGGAGAAUCCAUUGACCCCUGGGAUCAGAUUUACAAGAUGGCUAAGGUGCUAUAACAGAAGGGAAGAAGCAAGAAAAUCCACUUCAGAAGCUCUUAUCUUUCAAGUGUUUGCAUUACUUUGCUCACAGGAGUCUGAUGAUUUCAUUUGGCCUUGUUUUGUAUAAAAGGUAAAAUGCCAGCUUUUAAAUAUAAAUCCAGAAGAAUAAUGAAACCUCAUGAACUUCAAUCACCAAUGAAGAGAAAAUGUAAUUUGAGACAGGUUAGAUGGUAUAUCUACAACUAACCAACUGGAUGAAUCACAAUGGAAAUUAAGUCAUGUUGGAUGAAGUGGCUGACCAAACAAAGUGGUCUAAUGACAAGGGAAUGGAGCUAAACAAAUGGAGUGUAAAGAGCACCACAAAUGGACAAAGAGCAAACAUGUUCUGUUAUCCUAUCUAUCGGCAAAACAGAUCUGGAAGUGGCAGUGGUGGUAAGAUCUUGUGAUACAACCUCUUAAUCAGAAGAAAACUACAUGCCAUCAAUAAGAUGCAGCUGCAAAAAGACUGGUUGGAAUUCUUGGAAGUAAUUAGGCAAAGUUUUUGUAGAACAGGUGGAGGAGGAUGAAUAGCCUUCUAUAAGGUACUGGUGAGGUCAAACAUUUGUCCAGUUGUGGACAUCCAUUUUCAAGGAGAAUGAAUUCAUAAGGAAAAUUGUUAUGUACUGAGUUGAAUAGGAUUCAGAAUGCAGUAGUCUGAUUGGUCCGAGAACAAUAGGAUUCAGAAUGCAGCAGUCUGAUUGGUCCUAGAACAAUAGGAUCCAGAAUGCAGCAGUCUGAUUAGUCCACAGGAGCCACCCAAUCCAGCUCCAGGUGGAAGUGAAUCCGCAACCUGAUUGGCCUGCAGGAGAAUCCUGGAAUUAGCCAAUCACGUGGGGCCCAUUGUGUAAAUAAUGUAUAUAAAGGGGACAUUCUGAGGGAACUUCCACUCCUCCUCACCACUAUGAGUUGAAUAAAUAGCAUGAAAUCCACUCUCGACUCCGAGUAUAUUUCAAAAAUGAUGGAAAGAAGACCAGGUAUAGAGGUAUAGUUAUGAGCAGAGAUUGCUCUGUUUAUCUUAGGAAAAAUAACACUUAUGCCCCUUUCAGUGCCGUGGGGUGGCAGUUGCUUCUCAAUGCCAUGUAGCUGAAAUAAGGCUGUGAAUAACAGACCUUUCUGGGCAUAGUCUGCUAUGAAGGGUUUCACCAGUCAGUUGGCUAUUUAUUAAUCCAUAUGUUUUUGUUGUUAUUAUUAUUUGCACUACCCUUCAACUUAAGAUCUCACAGAAAAGGCCCAUUCUUGUGUUGCCAUCCUCCAGAUCUCAGUAUGGGGGAUAAAACUGAACCCUGGCAUGUUGGGACAGCCUCAUAGUCACCAUAGCAGCCAUUAAGUUCUGAGCCACCCCAGAGCCAGUCACCUUGGCAUGGAUGUAGAAGUCCUCCAGAACUAGCAGUCUGGGAGUCCUCAACAUGGCCUCUGAGACCAUCUCUGUGAGCUCAGGCAGGGAGAAUGCUGGGCAGCGAGGCUGGCAAAAAAACAGCAGAAUCCCUAAUCUAUCCUGAUUGUCCAAUGCCAGGAAUGCACACUCAAGAUCCUGCCCCCGCACUCCCGCUGGGCAUGGACAUAGAGCCUGGAGAGUGAAAUGGAUUCUUUAUAGACUUCAGCAAUAUGAAAGGGUACUAUGGUGUUUAGAGCUUUUUAAAACUGUUAUCAUGAUUAGGACUGGAAGCAGUGAAGUAUGGGGAGAUUUUAUCACACAGGAAUGGGGGAAUUUCAGUUCACAUUUUUAUGGGAACCAAUGUGGUUUGCAUUUCCCAGAAUAAUACACAUACUAAAAGGCAGCUAUCCUUCUAAAUUAUCUGUAUCUUGGAAUGCAGUACUCCAACCAAAAAAAGUGUACAGAAUUGUGUAUAUUAGGAGAAAGCGUAGAUAAAAUGCAUUUAUCAGUGAACGUAGCAUAGAAAAUGCAUUAUGUUACAGGAAAUUGCUUACAAAAAUGUGUUUAUUAGCCAAAAUUGCAUGCAAAAAAAUGUGUAUGAGAACUGUUUGCUAAAAUGCUGACUAAUUUUCAAGAGUGGGAAAAAAGAAACACCAUUUCAAACUGAUGCAGAAAUGUUGUGAACUGGAAAAAUGAGAAAUUGAGAAGAACCAGAAUUUACAUCCUGGCAGAUUGAGUGGACAAGACCAAUAGUGGGCCCAACAGUCAAGAAGUGAGGGGCAGAUGGGGCUCAUCAGCCUGGAAACGUAGCCCAUCUAGGAGAAGGAAAACUCUGGUCCUAAACCUCCACUGCUUUGUAGGAUGUCUUUGGAAGAAGAAAAGGCUGAUGUGAGUUUCACCUACAGUGUGCUACUACCUGAUAAAUGCCGCUACCUGAAAUUGACCCUUGCAUUAGUAUAAAUUAUGCUGACUCAUGUAAGAAUGUGUAAUUUAAGCCAGCUGACAGAGUGACUAACCUACUCAUGCUGAAAUAUGAAUCAAGGACUCUGAGAGACAAAGCAUCUACUGUCUUAUCUCAAUUAUGGGAUGUCACCAUUCAUAACAAAACCAACUCUACAGUCCUUUGUUUCUAGAUAGUACAUUUACAGCUGUAAUCUGCUGUGUUAUACGCUGGAGAAAAUGCUCUAAAAAUCAAAAUUCUGUUGAAAAACAAAGCAAAACUAUUUUGAAAACUAUAGAGUUGUGGUCAUUAAAAUUAAUGGGGUUUGCAGAUAAACAGAAAUGGGAAGUAUAAUGACUAUAACUGGAAGACAGAGUCUUAAGGAAAAGAGACAUUCAGAGGUCAAAAUGAUGAACUGAAAUUGAAAUGAGAUUAAUUUUGAUUGAUAAGUCAGACAUCCAAAAGAAUGAAUAUUCUGGGAUAGUGGGAACAGUGUGAGUGGGGGUUUAUCUACACUUCCUCUUGUCCUGCUGCUUCCUCAGGGGAAAACUGCUCUUUAGGGCUCAAUUGGAGCAAAUGGCAAUUCAGGUUUUCUCCAGAUUGAUGUUUGCACCUGGCUCUGUUUAAAGAAAAAUAAAAACCAAAGCAAAAUUGAUCUAAAAAGCCUGAAGUCUCCCCUUCUCCAACAUACCCUGCCCUGAAUGUGAUCUAAUGAAGGGUUGGAGGUGGCAUGCUUCUGAAUACCAUUUGCUAGAAACCAUAUCGGGGAGAGUUUCCUUGUACUUCUUUCAGCUUUCCCACAGUGGUUGACCACUGUGAGAACAAGAUGCUGGACUAGAGGGGCUGUUGGCCUAAUUCAGCAGGCUCUUUUUAUGUUCUUAGGGUUCUCUAAAUCAAGGAACAAUGCAGGCAGCCAAGAAAUGAUCAAAAUGAAUAAAUGGGGGGGGGGGUUGGAGGGGGGGUAAGAAUGUCUAUGCAUGCUUUCAGAAAUGUGUCAGAAUGUGUCACGCUUUUGAACGUGGCUAUAAAAGGCAGGCAUUCCUAACAAAGGCUCUGAGGGCCAAAGUUACACAUUGAUCACAAUUUUCACCUGGUUCCUUGUCACCUGAAUCUUUGAUUAUACAGCAGUGACACUGAGACAGUGUGGAAGCCAGUUUGUUGUGCUUUGAAUAUAUUCUGUCAGAUCACAAGCCACCAUAAUCAGAUAAAAAGUUGGCAGCUAUGGAAAAGUAAAGAGGGGGCAGGGGCUUGUUUGGGGAAAGCUUUCCAAUCCCCUUUUAACUGUUUUUUUCCCCUUUAAAAACUUUGGCUCAGAUCUCAUUAUGAGUCUGAGUUCUUGACCUACAUUCACAUUUCCAGUUUAGCUAAGGGCCAAUUCACAUGUUUCGUUUUUAAGGUGGCAAAACCUCACAAACUUGGUUUUCACAUGCUGUUUGCAGAAAACAGGUUUUGUGUUAGAAAAUCUGAACGCGUUUAAAUUUUUUAAUGUAGAGCUAAUUCAUACAAAUUGUUCCUCCAUGCACAGUGCAGAGGCAAAAGCCACCUAGAAAUCAGGUCUAACUUGUGACAUAAUUUCUGCAAAGCUACUUGUGCCCGCCUAAACCUUGAAUUUCAAUUAUUGUUGGCCCAAAGUAUUAAGUCUAGCUUUUUCAUCAUGUUGAGGUGGAGGGCGGGGGGGGGGGGACCUCAGUUGGUUUGAUCUUCAGUGGAAGGAAUGUGAAUACAAUUCACAGAGGGUAAGAUGGUCUUUCUGUAAUGUGGCUAAAAGUUAUUCACAGGGGAAACCAUGUUUUCUCCCCAGAAUGCCCUGGGGAUUUUGGAAGAAGAUUAAAUCCAGGCAAAAUGAGGUGCUUCUUCAUCAAGUACACAGUGAAGCUAUGAAGCACAAUAUCACAAAAUGUAGUGAUGGGAACCAACUUCGAUGGCUUUGAAAGAGGUUUAGACAAAUUCCGGGAGGAUUCAGCUAUCAAUGGCUUCUUGGAAGAUGGAUAGGUACUUGCCUUGGCAUGCCCCAAAUUCUGACAGUGAAUCUAAAAUCAAGGCUACUUUAUCCUUUAGACCACUGUAUUUUCCAAGUGGCAAACUGAAGCACAAGAGCUUCUUUGGAUCGUUUGAAAGAUCCAGUUCUUGUAGGCUGCAGUCCAAUCCCCUAAUCCACUACACUAUGUUGGGAGUCAGAUGGACAGUUUAUCCCAUUCUGCACAUAGGUCACAAAGACAGGAGUUGGGUGGUUGUUUCUUUAAGCUUGCUUUGCUGUCUCCAUUCUAUGAUACUUUCUCCGGGACAUGCCCUUUUCAACUCAAUGAGACUUCAUUUUGAGGAAAUGGUAAACAUGAACAUCAUUGACAUAACUUACUUUAAAUACAACUUUAUUCAUUUUAGAAACUCAGAAAUUCCCAACACAAUUCUGGUUUGAUAGUACAGUGGACGCUCGGAUUGUGAACGUGAUCCGUGCGGGAUGCAUGUUUGCAACCCGCAGUGUCCGCAAUCUGCAGUGGCACGUCUGCACAUGCGCGGGUCGCAAUAUGGCACUUCUGCGCAUGCACAAAAUGUGAUUUAGUGCUUCUGCGCAUGCGCGACUACCAAAACCCAGAAGUAACCCAUUCCAGUACUUCCGGGUUUCAGCGGUUUGUAACCUGAAAAAACGCAACCUGAAGUGUCUGUAACCCGAGGUAUGACUGUACAGUCACUGUACUGAAAUUCUGAAAAAAAGGAUGAAAAAACUUGAAGCAUAAAAUAAAAUACCUGAAUCGUUGCAGCAACAGCAAACAACAAUACCAUUCUGAAGGCUUUGACCUAGUGACAAUCGUGAGGUUAACGUCCCCCCUUUUUAAUACUUAAAAGCCUUUAGUGCUUUAUUGCCAGCUAGAAACUAGUCAACAUUAGCAUUUGACUGAUGGAGUCCUCUUCCUUGUGUAAGUACCUGCAGUAUGAUGAAUCGGGUAAUAAAGGGAUCAGUCACUACAGGUUCCUAGUGAACUCUGGCUGAUUAUACUUUGGAAAAUGAUCUGAUGAAGGAGUAAAGGAGAGGAGAUAAAUCACAAACUUCCCAUUUCUGUGUAUUAUCAAGGCCACAGUGUGCUACCGCUUCUUUAAAAGCACGGAGUUCAAUAGGUACCAAUGGUGUAACUUCCAUUCUCCCCUCGUAAAAAAAUAGAGUUCAUGGGAUCAUAGGACUGUAGAGUUCAAAGGGACUGUGCGGGUCAUCUAGUCCAACCCUCUGCAUUGCAGGAAUCUUUUGCCAAAUGUGGGGCUCAAAUCCACAGCCUGGAAAUUAAGAUUCUCAUGCUCUACUGACUGAGCUAUGCAGCUGAAUAAAUUUGGCAUUCUGUUCUGCCACAGGAGGCAAUUCUAAAGGACUUCCUCUGUGGAAUCAAAGGAAAGGAAAAAGUUUUAAAACAGAGAUAUUUGGGGUGUAUAGGCAUGGGAAUUAAAAGGAAGCUAUUUCUGCUAGCUUGCCUCCAUAUGUAUGUAUGGGAGAAUCUUGUUACUUUCCAUUUCUCUCUGUUUCACAUUUUUCCAAUCUUAAGUUUAGUUCUCCACGCUGUUUCAACAUCAGUUUGUGAUUUAUUUACUUUUUAAAAAAGUUUUCAUAGAAAUUCACCAGCAUUUUCAUGUCAAGUUCUCCUAAUAUAUAUGCAUUUCUACACAAUUUUGUCUAGUUUACACAUUUUUGAAAAUGCAGUUUUGGAUGAUAUAUGCAUUUAUAUGCAUAUUUUACCAUAUGUGUUUGUGUAGAUGCGUGUGUGUGAAUCUCUUCUCUCUCUCUCUCUCUCUCUCUCUCUGUGUGUGUAUACAUACUGUAUUACUUGUCUAGAGAACUGCAUUGCAAGAUGUGAAUUUCAAAGGAUGGCUGAGGUCCGGUUCACCUAUUCUUUGGGAAAGUACUAAUUAGCUAUGCUCGCCUUUAAAUGCAAACUGAAUCAAUUUUCUCUCCCAUCCCCAUCUAUGCAUUUGUACGGUAUUCACAACCACAGCAUUGCAAUUUCUAGGCAUGGUUAUUCUGGAAGGGUGCUUUCUUGUCAUAUCAAAGACAGUUAAAUGGUAAGGAGGAUAUAUGCUGAGCUUCAUCAAUUUUCAUGUUAUGCCUGCUUGGAAGUCACUGCCCUCAAACCUGAACACUAUCACCUGCUACCCUAGAUCUGUAGGAAUGGAAGGUGAUGAGUGACUCAAUGGUGAGGUUCUUAUUUGUCUGCAUUUUCUACUUUAAAAUUCAUUCCUUGGCAGAAAUGAGCCCUUGGAAGUAGAGGAAGUUGAUUUAAAAGUGUGACAGAUACAUUUUUUUGUUAAAAAGAAUCCAUAUUUGGAGGGUCUUUGUGUCCUGAGAAAUGUGUCCUUAGCUUUUCUUAUGCCCUUCAGACUCUUUUCUCUCCUGUAUCUCUUGCAUGUUGCCAAGAGCCAAGUGCUCAAUAAAGGAGACUUGAGGCCGAGUCUAAUACAUCAAAGUCAAGGCCUGAAAGUUUCAGAGGAAAGUUUCGCACACAUCCCUCAGCACAGUGUAAAUGUGUAACGCUCAGCAACACUUAAAGAAAUCAUUCCUCAUUCAAAAUUCAUUAUAUUGUAGCUGCAGUUUUAUUAGGAAGCUGGUCGUUUCUAUCGAUUAACCCGAGGAUGUUGUGGAAACCUGAGACAAAUGGAAAGUGCCCUCAAGAGCAAACUGUGACUUCAGAACAGUACAUAAACACAAAUGGAAAGAACCGACCACUGUGCUUUACUCAGGCAUGAUGAGGAAUAACAAUGCACAAGCAGGUUGGCCUACAGAAGGUUCCAGGUAUCUCCACGCAGGACUAAGAAAUUUCCUUGUCUGAAAUCCUGGACAGCCACUGCCAGUCAUUGUUGACAAUACUAAGUUACAUGGACCAAUUAUCUGCCUCAGUAUAAGGCAGCUUCCAUAUAAGGCAGCUUCCCUAAGAUGGUGGUUCACUAAUAGGCCCUCUAGAAGUCUAAAUCCAGGCCUGAGCAGACAGGUAAGGAUCCAGACCCAUUUCUCUUCUGGAUUUCUUGCCGCAAACAUCAUCUCCACAACUGAUUGUGACUGGGAAUUCCACAUGAGCUGUUUUACUUGGGAAGGGAGGACAAGAAAGGUCUGGAAAGGCUUUAGAGCUUUCUGUUUGGGGGCAAAUCUUCUUGAGAGCCAGUGUGGUGUAGUGGUUAAGAGCGGUAGUCUCGUAAUCUGGGGAACCGGGUUCGUGUCUCCGCUCCUCCACAUGCAGCUGCUGGGUGACCUUGGGCCAGUCACACCUCUUUGAAGUCUCUCAGCCCCACUCACCUCACAGAGUGUUUGUCGUGGGGGAGGAAGGGAAAAGAGAAUGUUAGCCGCUUUGAGACUCCUGAAGGGGAGUGAAAGGCGGGAUAUCAAAUCCAAACUCUUCUUCUUCUUCUUGUAAAUGGGCAUGAACAGAUUUUGCCAGAGGUGAAUCCAUUUUCAUCCUUUCUAAGGGUGUGGUUAGACAUUAACAGAGUUGUGUUGAGAAGUUCUCCUGCACCCCUUCCCCCAAUUCUCCAUCAGUGACUGAGAAAAGAAAUGGCAUUCAAAAAUUACUCAAAGGGGGACUUUGGGGUGUGUGAAAUUCUCAUGGGUUGGGUACAGGGGUUUUGUUGCAUUUACCAUACUUUUUAAGUGGCUGUUUGUGAGUGUCCUAUGAAUCAUUUCACAAGUGGUCUGCACACUGCAGCCUCCCUGGGUGCCUGAGAUUCAAUCAAAGGGCAGAAGAAGCCACCAUCUGCAGAUUAGGAAGCAUGAACAGAUGGAGUGAGGCUGCAGAGGGCCAGAGAAAUGUUUACUAGAAAGCAAAGCAAAUGCACCCCGCAUGAUCACCUUGCAACAGUACAGUAAUCUAAAAAUUCCACACAAACAGUAAUUCAGAAGAAAUUCUAAAGCGCCCAGGGAAGGAGGCAGAAAAGUAAAAGCCUCUAUUGCAGAGGAGGAAAACCUUAGAGAAACUGCGGGAUGAAUUUUGGCACAUAUUUAUAUUAGUGAGACAGAGUAGGACUUGUUCACUUUGAAAGCUUUUACCAUGGAUGACUGGGUGGGAAAUGUCACCAUACAAAUGAUAAAAUGGGACCACUCUGUCCUGCUUUGGAUCACUGGGUAUGUUGGUUCAGUACUGAAUUAUUCUGUUAAAUUCCACAUUCUGGACAGAUGCUCAUUUUGUAGCAUGAACUGGGUGCUUUGGUUUAUCUCACCUGUCCAGUUUCCCUAUUUGCUUGAGUGUUUUAGCACCAAAUCCCCAUAAAAAUAGAGGUCAUAUAAAAUGGUGUGCAUGUACAGAACACAAUUCUGUAUUUCAAGUUUGGAUAUUGGACCUUGCAUCCAUUUUGGAGGAGAUUAGGAAAGAUGUAAAAUGCUGCUGCAGUUUGGGAGUCUCCUUGAGUAAUGAGAAAGCCCAGUGAAGCUUUAUUAUAUAGCAAUAUUAGAUAUAUUAGAUUAAACUCUUUUAGAAGUUCAAACAGCAUUUAAAUCCCUUCAUUUUCAAGAAACAGAAGAAAGGGCCAAACAAAACUGAAGUUUGAACUCAUGAACAUUGGGUUUUAUUAAUUAAAAUAGAUAAAACUUGUGGUGGAAGGCAAAGUUCAACAAUAGCAUUCAAUAGGCUGCAGUCCUACCCAAGUCUUUCUAGUGUGAACGAGCACUAUAUAUUUUAAGAUACUUUUUUUUUACCUUCUGCUGAGAAAAUAAAAGUCUUUUGUUCAAGGUCACAGACAAAUUUACUUGCAACAUGAUAGUUUUUGCAGUUGCUUAACAGCAUUUCUUUCUCAAAGAGGGAGGCAUAAAAAAAGAGAAGAAUUUAAAAUAAAUAUGUCCUUUGUUAUUUAAGGUAAGAACAUGAUUCACAUUUGUGGCCUAGACUUGUAUUAUUUAACAAGGUUCCCCCACCCCCCAAUGUGAUUCGGUAAUUUCAUGUUUCCAGAAUGUCAACAAGGGUAAUAAAAUAGCAAUUUAAAGCGGCAUUAAAAGCUAAAGUAAAUGGCAUGAUUCUUCUGAAGCUAUUAUGACAAAAGUACUCCUGUUUUUACACAGCUUUGCACUGUAAAAAGAGACUCACUUAUGUUACCAAUUCACUUUUGGAUGCUUGUUCACUCAUUACAUUUUUGAGGCUGUUCUGUAAUAUUGGACUGGACGGAGGUUAUAAGAAAAGGAUCAAAGUAGCUAGUGCUGCUUUGUAGCAUCUGAUGAAUGUGAGAAGCUGCUACUCCUCUUGUCUUAGGGAACAGCCCUAACUUCCUACCUCACCCUGGUAGGGCUUUAUGGAGCAGUAGGGUAGCCCUGCUGUGCAAAGCAGCUGAGGCUGUAGCAGAAGUGACAGUGAUUGGCCUAGCAUCGCACAACAGCAGUGGGCUUGUCACAGGAUCAAAUGGCUUAGGCCAGCCCCUUCUCUGCCCCUGUGUGAAAAGAAAGCCCAACCUGGGAACUCCUACUUGUGAGUGGGGAUUCCGCAUUAUCAGGACACCCACACAAGCAGGUAGGCUUAGAGCACCUGCUUUUAACUUCACACUCAUGUUCCACAUGCAAAUAAUGGAUAAAGAGGGUUGUUGUCUUGAGACAUACUGGCCACAUUCCCAGUCUAGCACUGAUACCAUUUUAAACAGUCCUAACUCCCCCCAGAGGAUUCUGGGAGCUGUAGUUAAGGGUUCAGAUAAUUGCUAGGAGACUUCUAUUGCCCUCACAGGCCUACUAUUCUCAGAGCAUUUAAACAAUCAAACCCUCUUCCCAGUGAACUUUGGGAAUUGUGGCUUUGUGGUGGGAAUUGGGGUUUCCUACAGCUCUCAGCAUCCUUAACAGUCUACAUUCCCAGAAUUCUUUAAGGAAAGCCAUGACUGUUUAAAGUGAUAACAUAAGGCUUUAAAUAUGUGGUGUGAAUGUUGGCUCUAUAUACAGGGCUCUGGAUGACAAUAAGGCCAGUUCUUCCUGUCUCCCUGGCUGCUGGUUUCUGUACUCAUUCCACCACUCCUCUGAUUGGUGCAAUAGGAAAUCCAAAGCAAUGCCCUUCCUGCCUUCAGUGCUAUUUUUCUAGAAAAAGAGGUGCUGGAACUCACCAUGAACACCUCCACUGUUCUCUUAUAAUAGCAAUGGCACCCACCUUGAGAAGUGCUGGAACUGAGUUCCGGCUGAAAUAAAGCCCUGUCUGUCAUCAUGUGAAAUUUAUGACUGCUGCCCAGCAUGCCAGCCUCCACUAAAAACUGUAAUGCCAUUCUUGCACUUUGUGUGCCAAUCUGCUCCUGCUAAAUCAUCCAGUUCUCUUAGUUCUUCAUAUCAUAUCUGAAGCAGGCAUGUUCUCUUUUUGAAAAAGCAAAUUAAUGGGUAGUUUCUAGGAUGUAUAUGUUGCCUUUCCUUUCCUCUAAGGUAGCCACAAACAAUUUUAAUUCCCCCCCCCUCAUACCUAUACCAGGCUUCAAGGGACGCGGGUGGCACUGUGGGUUAAACCACAGAGCCUAGGACUUACCGAUCAGAAGGUUGGUGCUUCGAAUCCCCAUGACAGGAUGAGCUCCCGUUGCUCGGUCCCAGCUCCUGCCAACCUAGCAGUUCGAAAGCACAUCAAAGUGCAAGUAGAUAAAUAGGUACCGCUCCAGCGGGAAGGUAAACGGCGUUUCCGUGCGCUGCUCUGGUUCACCAGAAGCGGCUUAGUCAUGCUGGCCACAUGACCUGGAAGCUGUACGCUGGCUCCCUCAGCCAAUAAAGAGAGAUGAGCGCCACAACCCCAGAGUUGUCUGCGACUGGACCUAAUGGUCAGGGGUCCCUUUACCUUUAUACCAGGCUUCGGCGUAGUAAAGGUGCAAAUUGUACAGCACACAGAAUCCCAAAGUUAGUGAGGCUGAAAGAAAAACUUCACUGAGUAAUACCCACAUCUCGAAGCAGUCAGAGGCACAAUUCAGGGAUGGAAACACCCCCAAUUUAAUGGAUGCAGUGAUACUCCUUUAUCUUAUUCCUUAUCUGAGUGUGCAAACUGAGACAUUGUAUAGCAUGCUGAACUACUGAGUAUCAGUGAUGAAUAUAGUUUGGCUAAAAAAUAAAAAAAGCAUGGCAUGAGGUCAUACAGAGGGGAUCUGGGAGGGGAAAUAAGGGACUGCUCUAUUGUAAUAAUGCAGAACCCCUAAUAAAUUAUAUAUAAAAAAGAACACUUGAAAAACUCUGAACUCAGCAAUGCAAAGUGGUCUAAAACAAAUGGAGAAUUGCCAACUGAUUAGGAGCCUUUUCUUUUGCUUGCUUGCAAGAUUAAGGGUAUCUGAGAUUGUUAGUUUAGGUUUCCUGUAGAAAAGUGGGGUUAAAAUAAAUAAAUACAUUCAGUAGCACUUUGAACUCAUGCCUGCUUAGUGAAAAAUGCUGGGUAGAAGUCAGUACAUUUCAUUUAUCUUUUUUAAAGGAAAGAUCAGGAUGGCUUCCCUGUGCAUGGAAUUGCAGUAUUUUACAGUUAUUGACAUGAAAAUGCAUUUGUCUCAUCUAAAAUGAGCUGCAUGGAGCAUGUCGCUCGAUGACUUGCUUUACUAAUAAUGUACAAAAUAUAUGUCGAGCAUAUGCAUUUACUACAGAAAGAUGGGCAUUUUAGCUAAAGACAUCCUCUUAAUAAGUCAGGCAUGAAACACCCCAAGAGAAGUGUGUUUGAUGUUUUUUUAUUAAUUAAAAUGCUUAAGGAAUUCAAAAGGAAAUAAUUUAUUCCCUGCCAGUCAUGUAAUUUUAGUGAAGUUGAAUGGGAGGGUAAAAAUGAAUCAGUUUUUUUGAACUGUAAUCCAAUUUGAAAGGGAGAUUUUUAUUUUAUUUUUUGGUAAUGGAAGAAAGACUUCACUUUUGUACCAAUUUUACGAGAUCGUUUGUCACUAGAGAAAUUGGAGUUUAAAUUGCAUUAGUGUUUCUGUCCAAUUACUGCUUCACUUUGGCUUCUCUUUCUGCCCUGGUUCCUAAACUUUUUUUUAACAACAAAAUAUGAUAUUACAGAAUAAGUCACUCUGGUGUUCUUUAUCUGGGUCUACAAUUCCCUAUUAGCACAAAACCUGAACGGAAGUGAAACACUAGGACUUUUAGAGAUUUGCUUUUUACUCCAAUUAGUUCAUGCUGAUCCCAACUAUAGUGUCAAACUAGAGAAAUGUCCUUAUAAGUGAUUGACCAAACAGCACAUCUAACUGCAUCCAUGACUGAUCAUAGAUGAGCUCCCAUGCUGGGAGACUAGAAGCCUUGACAAAAAACAAUUUCCAAUAAUCUCUGUAUUGGGAAAUUCUUGUUGGUAUUGUUAUGUGCCCACCCAUGCUUGCAAACUAUAGUUUCCAAGAAUUUUCUGCAUAGAACUUGCAUAAUUUUAUCCACCUCUAACAUUUUCCUCUUAUUCCCCUUUACUCUAAAGUAAAAAGCUCUAAACAUUUUAACCUUUUCUCAAAGAGAAGAAUGUUCAUCCUCUUGAUUAUGUUUUGGUUGCCUUUUUUUUUAGGAAUGGAGGGAUCUGCCCAUUUCAAUUCUCAGUUCCUCAUUUUUCCAGUUUCAAAUUCAGUUUGUUUUGCAGCAAUUUGUGAACUUGGGGGGGGGGGGGGAUCCUCUUGAAAAUUUGUCAACAUUUUUAGUGUGAAUUUGUUUAAUGUACACAUAUUGUUUUGCAAACAUUUCCCCUCGAUAUAAUGCAUUUUGCAUGUUCUUUUCACUAAUAUCUUUAUUUUUAUGUACACAUCCCCCUAAUAGAUGCACUUUGGUAAACAUUUUAUCAUUAGAGAACUGGGUUGCAAAAUUCAGAUAUCAGUGUUUUGGUGCAUGCGCAAAUUCGAUAAACUCAGCUUUAAACACAAACUGAAUUGAAUUUAUCCUCCAUCCCUAGCCCUUUUCUGAACCUUUUCAGCUCCACAAUAUACUUUCUGAGGUGAGGAGAAUUCCUUACCCAGGAAUUCUGUACCCAGAAUUUCAAGUGUGGUUGCAUAAUUGAUUUGUAUAAAGGCAUUAAGAAAAAUAAAAGAGGACUCGAGAAAGGCCCCUAUCUCAUUUGACAGCCUCCUACUCAGCUUAAUAUGGCCAUGUGUAGCUGCUGAACUUGUCUGUUAUCUAGCUUCACAUUUCCGAAGCAGAGGCAGUUAUCUUCAUGUCUCAUAAAAAUAAAAAUAAAGUAUUGAGAGAAGAACACCUAGCUGGUUUUUUCUCCCUCCAAACAAUCUGUUUCUCUUUUAUUGCUGGUGCUGUCAACUGACUUAGUUUGUAUCAUUAAUUAGCAGAGUCAAGUCAUAAAGCCUUUCAUGGAUUGCCACACCAUCGGACUGCAGGUGGGAGCUGUGUGUUUGAAUUUUGUGAAGCAUAUACAGCUCCCUGCAAGAAUGGCAGAGAGAAGGCUCUGACCUAGCUUCUUCUAGUAGAUACUGGUAUAUUCAAACAUGUAUGCUUCAACAGUUCAUUGAAAGGUUACUGCAUGACUCUGGAAGGGAGGCGCACGGGAGGGUAGUUUGUCUCACAAACACAAAAAGAAGAUAGUGUCUGUACAAUUUGCCUCCUAUCUUAGGUUCAACAUAAGCAAAAAGUUUACUCAUUUUUUAAAAAAUGAAACCUGGGGAGCUGGAUAUUAUAGUAAGUUAGGGCAGUGGAGGGGGGGUGACGUGGCCUCCCUGUGUUAUGUUGGUUCAUCUAAAAAGCCCAUUCCUGCCUGUUUUGUAUCUUUUUCUUUCUCUCUGUUCUGGGUUAUUCUAGGUGUAGUAGGUGGUUCUGUUAACUUGGUGCAACAGUGUGGUUUCUGCUCAGAGGAGGGUAGGAUCUGCAAUCAAAUGUAAUUAAUAAAUAGAGUAGAUAAGAAGUUCAAAGUGCACUCUCUCUCUCAUACUAGUAUAGAUCUAGGGUGGAAGCCUAGAUCUGUGACCAUUCUUACAAACCUGGGAGCAAGUGUUAUUGAAUUAUAAGUGUGAGUUUUAUUUAGUAUUUCUAUUUUAUUUAUUAAAUUUGUAUACCACCCUUAAUCCAUAGAUCUCAGGGCAGUUAACAACAUAAAACUACAAUAUGUUUAGGAUUCAGGCAGAUGGAGGCUUUGUUCCACUUCCAUAGAGCCCCCCCCCCCCAGGGGGAGGGACAUGAUGGCAUUAUUAAGACCCACUAUUGGGAAACAAAAACCUUAGAUUGUGGUUUGCUAUGAGUAAUGUGAAAGCAACAAAACAUGAGAAAGACCUUUCAUUAAUGGCUCACACUAGACAAAAUUGACACCUUAAAUCAACAGGUGAUUCUCACUUACAAUAAAAAUAGUGGCAGCUUCUUCUCUUCCUCACCAGCUCAGAGGCACCUGGAACAUAAUACGAUGGGGAGGGUUAUUCAUCACCCAAGUUUGUGGUUUACCUUCUGUUGAAGAACAUUUGAAAUGGGAUUUGGUUUAAUGUCAUUCGAAUGGAAAUUUUCCCCAUUGAAACGUACAAAAAAUAGUCACCAUCAGACUGACACUACACUGACAUCUUGUAACAUUGUUUUGCUAUUCAAUUACCGCAUGCACUGUUGGCCUUCAUGGGUCUCACUGCCGGACUCCAUGAAUUUGAGAGUUCACCUGGAACACAUCCAGCACCCACCUGAGACUGCAUGUUGCAGGAGAAGCCUGGUCUAGGUGGCAGAUCAGCGAGUCAUCUGCCAUUGGCGAUCUUUUUCAAUGAAGAGUCUUCAUAAGCUUCUGUAGAACCUUAGAAUCAUAGAAUCAUAGAAUCAUAGAGUUGGAAUAGACCACAAGGGCCAUCGAGUCCAACCCCCUGCCAAGCAGGAAACACCAUCAGAGCACUCCUGACAUAUGGUUGUCCAGCCUCUGCUUAAAGACCUCCAAAGAAGGAGACUCCACCACACACCUUGGCAGCAAAUUCCACUGUCGAACAGCUCUUACUGUCAGGAAGUUCUUCCUAAUAUUUAGGUGGAAUCUUCUUUCUUGUAGUUUGGAUCCAUUGCUCCGUGUCCGCUUCUCUGGAGCAGCAGAAAACAACCUUUCUCCCUCCUCUAUAUGACAUCCUUUUAUAUAUUUGAACAUGGCUACCUAAUCUGAACACACACUGUGUUUGAGCUACUUAAGCUACUCAGUCACCUAUUAUCCUUUGUACCUCAUCUGUUCUGGAAUCUGUAUCCAUGUUUUCAAAGAUCACUGAUCAUUUUAUGGCACUGAUUGCACACAUGCUAUUUACCAUUGUCAAGGGAAAUGCACACUUAAUUUGUUUUUCAUAUUCAACAUGACUAACUAACUGCACACCUGUGUGUAGCAUUUAGUUAGCAUUAAUUACCCAUUGUCACAGCUGCAAAAACAGUGAUUACAAUAUAGUUUGGAAUCUCUACACAGGUCUUUAUGAAAUCGCUGAUUUCCUGCACCCUAUUCAUCUAGGGUGGUCCAGUGCAAAAGCUUUGGCUGGGGAAAAACCAGGGUUCCGGUUUCUCAUUCUGCCACAAACUUACUGGAGUAAGCCUGUCUGUAAAAGAGUCCAUCUACUUGUUCAAGGGAUGACUUGGGGAAGAUUUGAAUCAGGUAAUGUUUCUCAAGCAUUAUGCUUUAUACAAAUGAAUGGUUCUAAUUGUACAUGACAGAGCCUAACACAAAACUUGCUUUUUCUGUCAUCCCAAUACAAUUAUCCUUUGAAAUGGGUUGUGAUCUCAGCUGAUCUAUGUUGCACCCAAUCAAGAGUAAUUACACCCCAGCCAAUAUGCAGUUGCCAAUUUGGCAACCGUACGAGCUCAAAAAUGAAGGAUCUGCUUAUUGUGUCUCAUCAUAGCUCAUAUCGUAUUUAUAGUGCUGUUACUCUGGAAAUGCAAGCUUGUACCCUAUUUAUGUCAUUCAAAGUAGCUGCAAUUUUUGGUGGAAGGCUUUAAGGACAUUUUUUUUGGCAAUAUUUCUUAAAUCUAUUUCCUGGUCAUUAUGCUGGAGCACUUUUCCAUUUAGCUGCUGCUCAUUUUACUCCUUCCUCCCAUGCUCAUUAUUCUCUUUUUAUCUUUACUGAGCUGUGUUUGGCAUCUAUUAACCUAGGUCCUUCAAAUCACGUAUAUAAACAAAAUCAAGGCUGUGCCUGUCCAACGGUGAGUGGGGGAAAACUAUGUAUGGGAGGGGGAACACUACCCACCUAGUCCAUCUUUGCAGAACAAGAACAGAAAAGAUUAGACUAUGCAACAUUCUCUUAGGCAACAAGGCAGUUUAUAAAUCAACCUUUACCCAGAGUGCUCAGGAUUCAUUUUAUUUCGUACAAAUAUAGCAUUGAAUGUGAUUGAUAUUCAGUAGCAGUGAUAUCAUCAGCUGUUGUAGACAGUUGUGAGCAUUUUGCCUAAACUGGACUUAAUACUGGGUUGUGUGAGGGUGUAGUGGUAGGACACAACAUUGACCUUGUGAUGACUGUGGACUUUCUACAUUUGAAGAUGCAUAAAAAAAAUGACUUGAACUGGGGAGACUUGGGUCCUAAUCCUCAGUGAGCCACAAAGCCAGUGGGUAAUCUUGGGGCAGUGACUAUCUCUCAGCAUAACCUUACCAGUUCGGGAUUCAUGUGUUACUGUCAGGAGCGAGCUGGGAGGUAACCACAAUAUGCAAGUCUUUAUUAGCAAGAACAUGAUCUGCAUAGACUUGGCGGAGUGCCAGGCCUGAUGAGCACAGCAGCUCAUCCCCAGCAGGUUUUGCCCCCUGUCUCCCUACAGUCGUCCAAGUCCCCUCUUCUCUAGGGUUCCCUCCAAGCAAUCAGAGACUGCAUGUGCAUGAAGCCAACCUCUGACCCCACCCUUUUCAUGCCUCUUCUGGUUCUGGGAGACAAGCAGGGAGUGGAGCUUGUCACAGUAGGAGGAUGCGAGUGACUUGUGUCCCCACCCUUCCUUGUGCAGCCACAUACAGGAAACUAAUGGUACCUCCUAAACUCCUGAUCCUACUGGGUUUUCUGCUAGGAAUGGGAGAGAAUGUCCAUGGGAUUAAUGAUAUCAACUUUCUAUGAAACACCCUUGCAUUAGUGAGCAACAAACCUUAACAUUCCCCUUCUAAAAGUCCUUUGCUAUAGAAUUUUCUCCCCUCAAACAGUUCAUGAACUAAAAAAGAAUCUCUAACAGAACAAUGCCUUCCUCGGAGCCUUUGAUAAUUGGCAUAUUUCUGCUCCCACUGGGAUGUGCCAAUUAAGGGAAUCAGUUGUUUCACUGUGUCUACCUCAAGUGGGUCUUAGGUUCUCCACUGUCAUUGUUGGGAGCUUUGGUGAAUCAUCGUAUUUUAUUAGAAAGUCUAAUAAGGGUAUGAAGACAUUCAUGGGUUUUCUCUUAUUUAAUGUGCUCCAGUAGUUUUGUUCAUUUAAGCACUUUCUCUUCUAUUACCAUUUCUGUCACCGGAUACAGUCUUCAACAUGACUUUCUAUGCAACUUCACUUCAUGCUUUGAAAUGCUCACUCAUUGUUACUACAGGCCGUUAUUAACUCACUCCACCACAAAUUGUCAUAUAGUUUGCACACCAUCUUCUUUCUCUAAUCCAGGGGUUACCAAUGCAGUGCUUGGAGGUGCCAACUGAGCCUGCCAGUACCUCCAAUGGUACCCACAAAAGGUCUCAAUAAGUGUCUUAAAGGUAAAGGUAAAGGAACCCCUGACCAUUAGGUCCAGUAGUGGCCGACUCUGGGGUUGUGGCGCUCAUCUCGCUUUAUUGGCUGAGGGAGCCGGCAUACAGCUUCCGGGUCAUGUGGCCAGCAUUACUAAGCCGCUUCUGGCAAACCAGAGCAGCGCACGGAAACGCCAUUUACCUUCUCGCCAGAGCGGUACCUAUUUAUCUACUUGCACUUUGAAGUGCUUUUGAACUGCUAGUUUGGCAGGAGCUGGGACCGGACAAUGGGAGCUCACCCCGUCACAGGGAUUCGAACCGCCAACCUUCUGAUCGGCAAGUCCUAGGCUCUGUGGUUUAACCCACAGCGCCACCCACAUCCCAAUAAGUGUCUUACCUCCUCAGAAUUGCACAGUGCACAGGAUACUGUUUUCUCUUGCUCAUCUCCUGUUUUGUAUUUACUUGCUUCAGUUUUUAUUCAAGGUUUCCCUGAAAACAAAUGUCAUUUGACAAUAUAUAAACAUCAUAAAUAAAUACCUUUGGUUCUUUGUAAUACUAGAAAAUGGAGAUGCUGCAGAGAUCUAUCUUAGGUUCAGUGCUGACCAACAUCUUUAAAAUUGACUUGUACGAGGGAAUAGAGGAGAUGUUCAUCACAUCUGCAGAUGACACCAAACUGGGAGCCGUAGAUAAUACCUCAGGAGACAGGAUCAGGAUUCAAGAUGACCUUAACAGAUUGGGGAACUGGGACACAACUAACAAAAUGAAUUUCAAUAGGGAUAAAUGUAAGGUUCUACAUUUAGGCAAGAAUAAUCAGAUGCACAAAUAUAAGAUGGGCGACAGCUUGCUUGACAGCAGUACAUGUAAAAAAAAAAUAUCUGCACAAUAUGACAAUUACUCCUAGUGAUGCUAGCAUUGGAUAGUCUUUUCACAAGCCCCUUUUAUCACAUAAAUACUGAGAAAGAGAAUGUUAGCUCAUAUGGAUCGGAGCUUCACAUAUGGCAUUUCCUAGGGCAGACCAUUAAAUAAAAUUAGGAUUAAUGGCUGUGGAAUAAAACACUAACAUCACCAAAAUCCAGAGUCAUUUUCAGUGAAAAAGUAGAUUGUGCCAUACACUGUAAGGUUGGUAUACUGGCAUUCAAAUUAACCAAAAGAGGACAGACGGACAGGAAUGAUUUAAUGCUUGGCCACAUGAAAGACUUAUUUAAUGGCACUUUGUUCUUGGGUGUUUUGAAGAAACAUCAAUGCUACCAAAAUAAUGAAAAGGUCAGAAGCCGAUUGUAAUAAAUUAGGAAAGACUGAGCCAAUUUUCAACACCUCUGUUGCAUCCAUUUAAAUUAGUGUUCUUUUUUUAAUAAAAAAAAUGAAAUUCUGUGACAUUCACACUUUGAUUAAGGAUAACGAAAGGGCCAAGCCAGCCUCAAGAAAGCAAAACAGAGUCAGGGACAGUAAAAGUCACAUAAAUUCAUCGUUGUUGUUUUUUUUUCAAAGAGAACAACAACAAAAGGUUUCAGAGGAGCAGGGUGUGUUACAUUGCUAUUCCAUUAGCAUCAAACAGUGAUCUCUUCAAAGCAAACUUAAUUGUCGAUGUGUGAUGAAAGAGCAACAACAAAAAUGUUGGGUAUUGCUUGCAUUGAUGGGACACAGCAGUUAUACUAUACUGGGAGCCCCACACAGAAAAAGACAUUUUGCCCAAAUGGUCUGCUUCAGAGGCGGCUACCCUGGGGGGAGGUCACAUUUACCCAUAGUGAGAGGAUCCAGAGGUUGCAUGGCACCCCACACUCUUGCAUGCACACAAACACACUGGACUCUCUACUCCACUGAUACCUGCAUAUCAACUGUGCUCAUCAACUUAUCAAUCUGGUAAUCAGAGAGGAGGCUGAUAGAAAUCCCAUUAGGAUGCAAACUUUUCUGCCACCCAAGUGCUAUAUCUAUUUGCACCCUCCCCUCUGCUCUUUUUUCUGUCCCUUACAAAAAUGGUAAGGUUGAAUGUGUGUGCGUAAAAACCAGCCAGUGGCAAAUUAUUGGAACCAACUCACAAUCCAAUUCAAAAUUCAGAAUUUUAACAAUCAUGUUUUAGUUUUGUAAAGCAAGCUGAAUCAAGCCUUUAAACUAAAGAGAAAAGCAUAUCAGCAGAAGUCAGAGAAAAGCUGAACAGCUUUGCCAGUUAUAGUGGUGGCUGUGUCUCAGUGCUUUCCCCUCCGUCAUGACUACUACAAGAACCCUAUUUGAAAACCUUAGAAGAUAAAUUAAUUAUCAAAUUAAGCACAUAUAUGAAAACUUGCUUUAAUGCACGUAAUGCAUUAAAAAAAAUUAAUGUAUUUAACUCAGAAUCUGGAUCUCUUUCCUACACAAUUUAGAUUUAAAUUUGUUUUUCACUGUUUUCACUGUGGAAACCCCAAUUCCUGUUUGUUCCAACUCAGCCAUAAAUAGUGGGUUUUCCCAGCAAAAGGAAGUUUGGAAGAGCCUAGAGUCUAAUCAGUCAUGAUCAUAUUCUCUUCCACCAUACAAAAAAUAAGUAUACUUGUUUUCUCAGAAUAAUAAGCAAAUUGUUGUUGUUUAGUCGUUUAGUUGUGUCCGACUCUUCGUGACCCCAUGGACCAGAGCACACCAGGCACUCCUGUCUUCCACUGCUUCCCGCAGUUUGGUCAAACUCAUGCUGGUAGCUUCGAGAACACUGUCCAACCAUCUCGUCCUCUGUCGUCCCCUUCUCCUUGUGCCCUCCAUCUUUCCAAACAUCAGGGUCUUUUCCAGGGAGUCUUCUCUUCUCAUGAGGUGGCCAAAGUAUUGGAACCUCAGCUUCACGAUCUGUCCUUCCUGUGAGCACUCGGGGCUGAUUUCCUUAAGAAUGGAUAGGUUUGAUCUUCUUGCAGUCCAUGGGACUCUCAAGAGUCUCCUCCAACACCAUAAUUCAAAAGCAUCAAUUCUUUGGCGAUCAGCCUUCUUUAUGGUCCAGCUCUCACUUCCAUACUUCACUACUGGGAAAACCGUAGCUUUAACUAUAUGGACCUUUGUUGGCAAGGUGAUGUCUCUGCUUUAAGCAAAUAGCACUAGACAAACUUUUACAACUUUUGUUCUGACACCCAGUGUUCAAAAUAUAACAGUUGCUAUUUCUUAUCUUCUCCUUCUCUGUUAGGAUUCACCCGUCUAGGGGCUUAUCCCCACACUUCCUCUUGUCCCACUACUUCCCCUACCCUACCCCCCCGGGGGGGGGGAACGCUCUUUAGCGCUCAAUCGGAGCAAACUGCAACUCAAGCUUGCUCUAGAUUGAUGUUUGCUCCUAUUUAGAGCAAGGGUUUCCUUGGGAAGGGUGGGGCAAGGGGAAAACUACUCAGACCCGUGCUUUCUAGGUAAGGGACAAGCUGAAGUGUGAACAGGCACUAAUUCAAUAAGCUUUUCUGAGGCUGGUUGUGACCAUUGCCAUUUUUACUGCAGCGCAGUGCAGCGCUCACCUCCCACACACAAAUUCUACAAAUAGGGUCUUUAACUUCCCAACCAGAAAUGCAACAGCUACAUGUGCACCCCAGUGUUUUAUACUUGGUAGUCAUCAUCUGCAUGUGAGUGAAACAGGGCAGUGGUGCAAACCUGAAUAAAAUAUUGGGGGCACCCAGCUAAGUCACAUGACACAGUGAGCAUACACCAUUUGAAUGGCAUUGCACAUCUACUUAGGGGAGUGGCUCCCUCAAAUAUUUUAUUGAGGGGGGUAGGCGAAGGGACCUUGCCCUCUAGGAGUUGAUUCCUAUGAAACAGGGGUAGGCAAAUUGUUAUGUUUCUAGUCUGAGUUGCUUUUGCAUAUGUUCAGCCAUAAGUCUUUUUCAUCCUGUUUUUGCAUGAAUUUUUGUUUGGUUUUUCGUUUUUUAAAAAAGCACAUAAAAUGCAUUUAAUUAUGAUUAUUUAUGGAUCUCUUCUUACGAAGCAUCUUGAAGUAAUUUCACAUUACAAUAAAAGCAUUGCACGUGCACACACACACACACACACACACACACACACAAUUUAAUGCAGUCACAUAUAUAACAACAAUUUCAAAUCCAUUACAGAUAUGAACUAGGAUAGACAUCUGCAUUCAGAAGACUUGUCUUCAAUAGACUCUGAAAAGACAAUAGAGUGGAACCAGUGGGAUAUGUAAUGGGACAGAAUCCCAAAGGCAUAGGCACCAUUAAUAGGAUUACAACAUUAUGUGAGGAUCUGCUGAUACAGUUGUAUCUGCAGAGUUCCCACUUCUGCAAAUCACAGUGAUCAGUUGUAUAUAUAAAGGAUGAGAAUUGCUUUUUAGGUACAAUAUAUAUAUUAAGUGUACUUCCUCUCAAAAUACCCAUUUCUAAAUCACCCCCACCCUCAAAAUGCAUGUCUUAAACAUACUUUGGUUGCAAAAUCCAGAUCAUUGCAAAAUUCCUUGGAUAUUUCUGAUACGCAAAUGAGUCUGAGAGAUGUGGAUCAGAUCAGUUCAUAUCAGCAUCCUGUUGGUGAGUGUGUGGUGCUGAUAAUGCCAAGGUUGCAGGUUCGAUCCCCGUAUGGGGCAGCUGCAUAUUCCUGCAUUGCAAGGAGUUGGACCGGAUGAUCCUCAGGGUCCCUUCCAACUCUACAAUUCCAUGAUCCCUAAUGUAAAUCAAGCAUGAGAGUGAAUAACUUGCCUAGGAAAAAUAAAUGCCCCGUUCCUCCAGCAUGUGGCUUCCAUAUAGGUGUGCACCUGCUGAAAUGACUAGCAUGAACUUCCAGUUACGCAGAGGAAGUCUUAAGAAUCAAUCUUAUCCAAAGCAAUUGGUGUUUGGGAGCCCCACUGUUUCAUUGCAACAGCGGGAGUAGCAUUAGAGCGCUGCUUAAGUUUCCUGGAUUCUAAGUUUGCAUUCAUUGCCACACGCAAUGGAAUUGUUGGCAUGCAGUGUGGAGGAGGAAAACACAAAACAAUGUGCUCAAGAGAAAUGAGGUACAUGACCUGAAGUUUGUGUGUCUAGCGGUAGGGGGGAAGAGAAAAGGUGAGAAGCAGCACUAGUCAAAUGAGAGAUGCAAAGAGAUUGCCAGAUCAAGGCUGGAAUGAAUAGCACUGGCUCUGCAGUAGAGGAAGCCUUAGAGAAUUUAAUGGAGAGGAACGUUUUCCAACAUACGGAGUGCAGUGAGAGCCGCUUUGACAGGAAUGUUAAAAUCUCCCAAACAAUCAACACUUCAGCCCCAGCGAUGCUGAAAUGACAGCAACCGACACAGCUACCUAAUGAAGCAUCCUUCGUUAUCUGUUCUCUGCUGAAUCUGUGCAUCUUUUGUUGAACAGCUACAGCACAUAACAAACACAGUCAUAAUUAAAACUAGGUACAAAAAGAUGGUAGGCUGAUACUUAACUGAAAAUUCCACAUUGUUGGUAACUUACCUACUUCAGUCAAUAGGUUUUUAUGCAGCUCCCUGACAGGGCCUUUAAUGCAGGCCUGCAGCAGUGUUUCACCUUUUACCUUGUGUAUUCUUAUCAGCCAUGAAUGCUGUUAUACCGCGCUUUGUUGAGUGGGCGAUGGAGGCUUUUAAGCUUCACAAAAGGCCCAAUAUUGCUGAAAGCAGACAGAAUAUCUCUCACCCCAUCCCCCUGAGCUCAGUCUGGACAUGUGGAGAGGAAGAAAGAAUAAGACUUGCAGCCACUUUUACACCAUACAUUUAAGCUCUAUGAUAUAACUUUAAAUAGUCAUGGUUUCCCCUAAAGAAUUCUGGGAGCUAUAGUUUGUUAAGGGUGAUGAGAGUUGUCAGGAGACCCCUGUCACCGCCACCCCAGCCACAGGUCCCAGAGCUGUUUAACAAUCUAUCCCCCUUCACAAGGAACGCUGGACAAAUGACAAACUAGCUCUGAUAUUCAUAUACCAAUGAAUUCUUAUACAAAAUGAACAGAACCUCUAAGUGGUUUACAAAAAUAUUAAAAUGAACCUAUCUGAAUGGAACUAUCCCUGCAGCCUUGCCUUAAGAGCAGAGCACCUCACCCCUGACCACUGGGGAGGCUGUUUGGGGCCAGUGGAACAUCUGAGGACCCACAGCUGGGGAAGGGUGCUAUAAUUGUUUGUAAUACUUGAGGAAGUAUUGAUGCAGAAGAUGGAAAAGACCGGCAUUCUUUAAUGCCACAAGCUGGACUCAGUGUACUUUGGGAGGAGGGAGUAGGAAGCCAACGAAACGUGGGUGAGCAAGAGCAAAUGCGGAAAUGCUACCUCACAGAAGGCCUUGAGCAAAGACAAGCUAUUUCCUCCAGGGCAGGCAUCCCUAAACUCGGCCCUCCAGAUGUUUUGGGACUACAACUCCCAUCAUCCCUAGCUAACAGGACCAGUGGUCAGGGAUGAUGGGAACUGUAGUCCCAAAACAUCUGGAGGACCGAGUCUGGGGAUGCCUGCUCCAGGGCGAUUUGGGAACUGUGGACUUGGGAAGCAAGUGCCAGGGAAGAAGGCCAGAUAACAAGUAGAAGAAAUACUUUCUGUAUCUGUGCUGAAUCUUCCAACAAUCCAUUGGAUGUCUGUGAGUCCUUGGGUUCUAUCCACUUUUUCAGUGCCUUGCAUGAAUCUGUAAGUAAAGUUCAAAGCAGAGCUGCUGCCAAUCGUCAUGGUGGGGAUCAUGUAGAGGAGCUGCCUUGCUCACUGCCUGUGAUAACAGGGGCAGCACCCUUGCAAGUUGUACCCCUUUCAGAAGACCUAUACAAAUGUAAUGCUAGAAUUGCAGACUAUUGGACUAUUUCCAAGAGAAGUCCUAUGCAAAAGGCAAACUUGCAUAAGCUAAGGCGCAUCCGUCAGCCUUCGCAACUCCAUUCUGAUAUGGCAUAGCCCAUGAAGAGUGUGAACCAGGAUAAAAUUAAGAGGAGGAACUGCAAGGGGCAGAUAGAAAAGCAAAUUUGUGGUUGAGCUGUGGGCCUAAGGUUCCUUACCCUUGACAUAUAAUUAAGGCAAGGACACUAUCAAUAACAUUUAUAUGCCCAUCCAAUAAAAUUGUUUUUUGGCCUGGAGAUUUCUUUUUGAAGUUAAACCAGUCUUAGUCUUCCCCACCAUGGAAGCACAUCCCAUAACUUUCUUCACAGGUCUCUGUUUUCAUUAUCCAUCUCCGAACUGUUAAUGUUAACUGGUGGGUUCAUUCAUCAUUGCUCAGUUGCAUUUCAGCUAGGGGAGGCUUUCUUGAAGUCUGUAUUAUUACACUGGCUUUAUUACAGCCACAAAUAGCUGUGGGAGCUCAUUGAUCUCCCCUUCCUUGCUCCUUCCAAUUCAAAGAUCUGACCUAGAUUAUACUAGAUAAAACUGAAAUAUGUUUAUGUCCAUUAUUCCCAUAGGAGGCAUUUAUAUUUUGCAUUGCGAGUUAAUAGCGAAAGACUCUUUACAAGUUUUUGCAUGCAUAAAACAAAAGCUUUUAUAAUCCUGAGGAGGCAUCUUGCUGUGAUAAUAUAUUUAACUCACUUGCAGUGCUGUAAAACAGAUAAACUUUAAAUACAACAUAUUGUGCCAAAAGAUUAGAACCGACUUUGCUUGAGUUCACUAUGAGUUCAGAAAAUCAAUGUUAACAGUGUUUUUCCCUCCCAUUUUGGUUAAAAAUACAAACCGUUUCCCGUUCCCAUCACACUAUCUCUUUGCAUGCAUAGACCACAGAUAAAAGGUUUUACAAGGGGAAAAAGCAGGCAAAUUUAAUGUACAAAUAUGCUCUUAUUGGAAUUAAAGUAAUGAUUUUGUUUAGCACAUGUGUAUUCAAGAGUGAUAAGAAUUGAGAGUAGCAGAUUGGUUAGGCUUAAACUGAACCAGAAUCACAGUGAUCCAUCCUUGUAACAUGGAAAGAAAAAAAUAAUAAUUCUACUCCCACCCAUUUCUGGGUUUCCCACCCAUUAUUGAAAAUAUGGGGCGUAUGGGGUAGUAGGAGAGGGAAUACCUCUGGUGUGGGGCACAUUGUGUUCCUCCUGGGGUCAUUUGUCCACCUUUGGUCUCCACCCCCCCUGCACUCAACUCUCACCUGUGGCUCCUAGAAGCUGUCAACAUGCGACAGUGACCACACCCUGGGAAUGACUUCGACUGGCCGGCAAAACCAGGUGAGGGUAGCUAAUGGGUCUCAAACCCUCAGUGAGAUAGGCACUUACCCUACAUGUGAGAGAGGCUCCAGAGGAUUGAGAAGACAAGGUCGAUAGUGGGUCCAACUGCCAAGAAGGUGGUUUCUGCACAGGCUGUAGAGGGAAGCGAGGGGCAGAUGGGGCUCAUCAAUCUGGGAAGCCACCCCAUUUAGGAGAAAGAAAAUUCUGACCCUAAACUUCCACUACCUUGCAGGAUAUCUUUGGGAGAAGAAAAAGGCUAAGGAGUAAAACCUACACAAAUCCAGAGCGGAGUCCCUAAGAUGGUUGGAUGGUGCAUUGUACGUCUCCUUCUGGCAACUCCUGCAGCCAAGCUGGUGCCAAAAGUAUUGCUCUGCUGUGGGGAUGAGGAUGCAGUGUGGGGGUGUACCCCCACCUCAGCAUAAGACACUCCACAGGGUGUCUAGCCGCCAUGCCCACUCUCUGACCUUUUCCUUCCUCGCAGAAAGCUUUACUUAAUGUUCCACUUGGCUGAAGCAUGUCGAAUGACGCAGACUUUCGGGUAUCAGGGGAACAUUUGGGGGGAAAACACCUGUCUGACACAUGUAUUGCUAACGCUGGAAAUGUGCCUUUACUGGAAAUACCUUAUGUUCAGGGUGGUUUCACUACUGUUUCCAAUUGUUGACUUCUGCUAAUAAAAGGAGCCUUUGCAGAGCUAGCUGGCAGCUUGCUUGGAGCUUGCUUGCUAGCUUGCUCCUGCACAGCUCACAUGGAUUCAACUCCCGUGCUGUCCUCUGUUAUUUCUACACUCUGCUUUCCUCUGGAACACAUCAGUGAGGCUGAGAGGAGGAUUUUGUCACCCCAGAGCCUCCAUACACACUGCAAAUGCUUGUGCCCCAGGAGAAGUCACUUUGGUGCCUCUAAUGCAGCAGUUUGAGGCACAACUCCAGAGACAGAUGGAUUCCAACAACAGUAAAAAUAUGUUUUGGACUGAGCCACCCCAAACUUUACAACCCUUUUCACAUAUUGUGAAGUUGGAAGUAGCAUUUUGGCAAUGCAGGGUGGGGGGUAAAUAUGAUUUUGGAGCUGGCAGCAAAUCUAGCACCAGUGUCAAAAGUGCUCCCAGGAACUGUGGAAUCACAAAGACAAUCAGAAUGCCCUUGAUCUGCAGGAAGGUAAGAAAUGGUGGCCACCAACUGUUGGGACUCCCAGGAGCCCUGCCGCUGUUGUCAGAACCAACAAAAGGGCUACUGGAAUGGGCAGUAGCUCAGUGGUAGAGCAUCUUUUUCCCAUGUAGAAGGUCUCAGGUUUGAUCUCUGGCAACACUAGGUAGGGCUGAGAGAAACUCCUGCCUCAAAUCCACCUCAAACCAUCUCUAAGUAUUUGCUGAUCCACACAAAACUCAGUGUGCUUGAAUUUGGCUCAUGACAACAACAACAAAAUUGCCCUAUAGAACCAAGAGUAGUCAAAUUUUGGUCUCAUGGUAGGACUGAAAGACUGAACCUGAGCAAGGUAGAAUUUGAUGAGUGAUCUCCCCCAAACUUAGUAAGAUUUUUUUAAAAAAACAACAACAACCCUAUGUUUCUUUCUGCACUGAAACAAGAGAUAGUUUGCAUUCUGGUGUAAUUUGUUCCAGAAGUCCUAGAAGGACAGGCUUUGCUGGCAGUGAUUUAGAGACCUGUUCCUACCUCUGGUGACUUUGUGUUGGAAUUCUGUCAGCAAAAUGUAUCUUCAAAGCCAUUUCAUCCACAGUAGUUAUUACUCAGCUAGGUUCACUCAGUGAAUAAAUAUCCCCUCACGCUAACACCAAUUUUUCUUUCUUGGAGCUUUCUCUACAGCUUUUGGAAGGGAAGGGGGAGAUGACAAAAACAAGGGGAAAUAUGUUAGGAAAGGCCUGGAUAUUGGACUCUGAAGACAAACCAAACUAACCUUUCUUUGGAAGACAGUUCUGCUUCCAUGUGGAUGCAGAGGCAACUUAGUCCAGCGUCUCAUGAAAUGGUCACAUUUGCUCCUGUGACCCCAUCACUUUGAAAUGCCAGCCAUCAGACAGGAAGAUUCUGCAGCGGGAACAUGAUUGUUUUAGAUUAACAAGAGCUAUGGCUUAGUGAUAGAGCAUCUGAUUUGCCUGAAGAAGGUCCCUGGUUCAGUCCCUGGCAUCUCCACAUAGGGCUGGGAGUGACUUCUGCCUGAAACCCUGGAGAGCAUAGCUGCCAAGUGUCCCUUAUUUGGAGGGACAGUCCCUUAUUCCAGCGCCAUGUCCCGCUGCUGUCCCUUAUUGAUGGAGGUGCCUUAAAUGGUGUCCCUUAAAUUUCAAAGGAAGCAGCUCCUCUCCCUCCCUCCCUGCCGGCCAGGGAGGAGGGAGGCUCCAACUGUGCUGCUUGGCUGUGUUGCUCACCCAAUAAGAAGUCUAAGAACGACUGGGGGGGGGUGUGUGGAGCUUGCAUGCCUUGUGCUGAUCAAAUCAACUGCGUUGCCUGGGGACUCGCCUUUGCUCAGCACUUCCCAGCGGAGAGGUGACAGUGGUUUUCCUUGAGGCUUCGUUUGGCUGCUGGCUGGGCUUUCUGCCUUUGGCUCAGAGGGGCUCAGAAGUUGAACAUACCUGUGCUGAGUGCUCGGAUCGGAAUCGGAUGGAUACGUCAUCGACGGCCCACUCACCCUUGCCGGCGAAAAGGUCUGUCUGGAGUGGGGGCACAUGGUGGGGGAAAAGGAAAGGAGAUCUCGUGGGAGGGGGGGCUUUUGAAUUUGUUUUGGAGGCUCCUUCGAUUGACUUAUGGGGAAAAAGAAAGGAGCUGGUUGACUAAAAUGGUGGGUGACUGGUGAUCUCGUGGCGAGGGGGGGAGGCUGUGUGUGUGUGGCUAGUUAAUGCAAGCUGAGGGGUUUUUUGAAUGCUGGACGCCAUUUUGUUGCACGUGCUGCUGCAAACUUUGCAGUGCAAAGACAGGCCGGGGAGCCAUCUUAAGUUGAGGCUGCACAGGCCUUGUAGUGCAUGUGAUUCAGAUUCUAUUCAGUUGAACCUCUGGUUACAAAGUUGGUUGGACAGUGUUCUCGAAGCUACCAGGAUGUGUUUGACCAGACUGCAGGAGGACAGGAAGACUGGAGUGCCUGGAACAGGUGAGGCUGCAGGUCCCUUAUUUUGGCUGUGGAUCCCUUAUUUUCAAGGCUGCUGGUCCCUUAUUUUCAAAUCUGUAAGUUGACAGCUAUGCUGGAGAGCCACUGCCAGUACUGACAGUACUGAUCUAGAUGGGCCAAUGGUCUUUCUCAGCAUGAGGCAGCAUGUGUGUGUGUGUGUUUACUGUGAUUAACAAAAUAUAGAUUUUAUUUCUGUGAUGAAAUGUUUUGGCUUGUACUUUCGGCUUUAAUAAAAAUGAAACGAUACUGUUGCCAAGGUGGUACUUAUAAAACUUUGAGGAUGAAAUGUCCAGAAGGGCUUUGUGUUGGUACUAUCCUCAAGGCUGAGGCCAUGCGUUGUAAAUGCCUCUAAUGUCUGCAUCCAGAUGUUGCCUCCAUUCGCUAGCAGAGUAAGAUCCGUUGUGAGCUCUCUUGCUCAUCCUUCUUUACCUGCUCCUGUUAUUUAAUCACAGCAAUAACCAAGGUGACGAAAAUGAAGGAAUGGCUUAGCGAGGUCAAAUGCAAUAAAGCACGCAGAGCCACAAAGGUCAGGCUUAUUUAACUCUUUGUGAGAGGGUGGUUGCUGAAGGCAUCCCAUGAGUUAAAUGUACUUCCUCACACAAUUUAAGAGAAUUAGUUUGAUUCCGUGUUGGUCAUCUGCUUUUUAAUGAUUUUGUAAUGUAGUAAUGUUCUAAUUAUUUUAUUGUGCACCUCCAUGAUCUUCCCUUAUUUGUUGCUUAGAUGAUAGAUAGAUAGAUGAUGAUAGAUAGAUAGAUAGAUAGAUAGAUAGAUAGAUAGAUAGAUAGAUAGAUAGAUAGAUAGAAAGAUAGAUAUUCCUGCUGGGUAGAAGAGGUCAAGGAUAUAAACAAUACAAUGAGCUUAGAUUUGUGGAGAAGGCUCCCCACUGCAGACAUUGUCUCCAGCAUAUGGAGGGCUGUAGGGCCUCCAGCAAUGCUAUGAGAAGUCUUGAUAAGUGUCUUUCAGGAUUAAUACUGUGGAAGGGAGAGGGACCAGCAGUAGGCGAAGCCAGAGUCAGACUGGCAGAGCCACCCUCUGAGUGUCUGUCAGCCAGUGGAGGCAGGCUGAGCUUGUGGAGCAGUGCUACUAUCAAUGAUUCCAAACCCGAUGGCUAUUGCUCACAUGUUCCCACUCAAACGCUUCAACUGGUGGAAUUGACACCAAUGCAGGUACCAUGUAAUGCCCAUCCCACAUUUGUAAGAACUUGGUCAUUUAGUGUGGCAGCACCUAAACUUUGGAAUUCUCUGCCUAUUGAUAUUAAGCAGGUGCCUUCGCUGUACAGUGGUACCUCGGGUUACAGACGCUUCAGGUUACAUACGCUUCAGGUUACAGAAAUAGUACCUCGGGUUAAGAACUUUGCUUCAGGAUGAGAACAUAUUGCUCAGCGGCAGCAGGAGGCCCCAUUAACUAAAGUGGUGCUUCAGGUUAAGAACAGUUUCAGGUUAAGAACAGACCUCCAGAACGAAUUAAGUUCUUAACCCGAGGUACCACUGUACUCUUUUCAGUGCUUGCUCAAAACACUCUUACACAAGCCUAUCCAGAUGUUUAGAUAUUUGAGGUAAUCUUAACCUGCUUUAGUAUUUUAACUUUUAUAUAUUUUAGAGAAGGAUUGUAUUUUUUUCCUUGUUUUAUCUUUUUGUAGACUGCUCUGAAGGGGUUUUUUUAACAAGCAGGUGGUGUAUAAAUUUUAUGAAAUAAAAUGAAAUAAAUAAUAAUGAACUUUCUCCAGUGUCGAAGGCAGUAUGCUUCUAAAUAUCAGUUGCUGGAAACCACAGGAGGGGAGAGUACUGUCGCCCUCAGGUCCUGCUUGCAGGCUUCCUGUCAGCAUCUGCUUGGCCACUGUAAGAACAGGAUGAAGAAGAAGAGUUUGGAUUUGAUAUCCUGCUUUAUCACUACCCAAAGGAGUCUCAAAGCAGCUAACAUUCUCCUUUCCCUUCCUCCCCCACCCCACAACAAACACUCUGUGAGGUGAGUGGGGCUGAGAGACUUCAAAGAAGUGUGACUAGCCCAAGGUCACCCAGCAGCUGCAUGUGGAGGAGUGGAGACGCGAACCCGGUUCCCCAGAUUACGAAUCUACCACUCUUAACCACUACACCACACUGGCUCUCGUGUGGUCAAGAAUGCUGGACUAUUAUUAUCAACUGAAUUUAUAUACCGCCCUAUACCUGGAGGUCUCAGGGCAGUGCACAGAAAAGAUCACAAUAUAUAAAAUCAAAAUAAAAACAAUAACCCAAUAACACCCCCCCAAAAGAGCCACAUUUUAAAAGGGUAUAGGAUGUCAAUCAGGUCAACAAAAGGAACAUUUUUGCCUGGCGCCUAAAGGUGUAUAAUGAAAGCACCAGGCAAACUUCCCUGGGGAGAGCAUUCCACAGAUGGGGAGCCACUGCAGAGAAGACCCGUUCUCGUGUUGCCACCCUCCAGACCUCUCGAGGAGGAGGCACACGAGGGACCAUUGCUCUGAUCCAACAGGCUCUUCUUAUGUACUGUCCUAGGAGACCAGCCUCCACUGCAUAUGAUGGAGAGGGCUAGGGAGUAUUCCCACACCCUGCCUCCUUGUGCUAUUGGAAUCAUGUGAGGAGGGGAACAACUGAAGAGAGCCGAAACAGGGCCUAGCUGGAAACCAAAACAGCAUGAUAAUCAUGGCUCUCUCUCACCAGAUGGUCAGAAACAGAAGCUACAUAUAUUUGUAGACCAGAUCCCUUUGUAUCUUAAUGUCUUACGCAAAAUGAGACACCUCCUAUGUAAAUAAUAAAAACAAAGAAUGAUAGCACAGAUCUCUUAUAACCACUUAUCUGUUCUGUAUUAUGUAUGCUGGCCCACCCUGCACAAGUGUUACCAGCUUAAAAGGGCUUUAAUCCUCAAUGAAAUUAUUUACCAGUAUCUUCUGUUCUAUUCAUCCAGGCUAUUUGCAUUCAGUUCAGCUUUCUCAAGACAAAAAGCCACCAGAGCCUGCCUGUCUAAAGAGUUUAAGCUUAUGUGCAAUAAAGCAAUAUUACAUUCCCUUCAGAUUAGAAUAUUGUGCUGUUGAAGGGAUUAUGGUGGCACCAGUCACCAUGCAAGAAUUUGGAGGAAGAGAAAGUUUUGCAUAUUACAAAGUGACAUCUUAAAAUAAUAAUAAAAAGAGUCUUUCACAAGCUGUAAUCCUCUUCUGGAGUUUUUCCAAUAGCUUUAUGGACUUCUGUGUGAAAAAUGCUGUCAUAGUGGUUAUAUUGCAAGAUGACACCAGUAGGGGGUAUUGGAUCCAGGAGGCGAUUCUGCUUUUCUUGUCAAACAGAAAGCAAAGUGAUGCUGAACCAGCCUAAGGUUUUACUUUAAGUAGGAAGGUGAUGAGGGGGGAAAAAAUGCAAAGAACUCCUGUCAUGUUGGGUUUUGCCUGACCUUUUCCAAAACAGAUAGGAAGGAUCAUAUCACUGACAAUUCAUAUUUGGGUAUAAAAAGUUACAGUUGUCACACUGCUACCUGUUUAAAAGUUGAAGAUUUUCAGUGGAGAAUUAGCCUCACUUGGCAAGCAGAAAGCAUAGGUAUAGCAUAUGUUUGCAUGGGGAAAGAUAGUGCAAUUCAUAGCAUCCUCUUCUUGGAGUUCUCUUCCACGCUUCCACAAUAAAGCUUGGCUCACACAGGCACCUAACAGAAGUCCCACUCCAGAUGUGAGCUUGUUCCCCUGUGAGGAGGGCCAGUGAUCCACUCUCUGCACAAUUGGUAUUUUUCCAAGACAUAUUCAGGCAGAUGUGUGUACUGAGUUCCAUGCAUGCAACAGAAAUUCUCCUCCCUCUCUUCUUCCUGCGCACCCUCAGAAUCUGCUCCAGAGGUUCCUCCAACCCCCUGGAGAACAUUUUGAGUGUACACAGGGGCUGUAGGUGAGAUGAGAGGAAGUCUCCAUUGUGCAGGUGGGAGUUUGCUGAGCUAGCAAAACAGCAUCAUUGGAUAUGCCCCAACAUCCUUCCAGACAUUGCAUGCCCUUGUCUCCACUGUCAUAUCGCUUUCUGAUCUUGUCCCCAUGCUGUCCAUUUGUUGGAGCUUGUUUGCGAAGGACAAGCCUGCUGAACAAGCACAGUCUCUCCAUGACUGCACAAUCAGGGUUCCCAAUCAUAGGGAGAGCCUACAUGCAUUCAGCUGUCUUCUGAUUUCACUUAAUGCAUGGAUAAGGCUUCAGUGCAGACUUAAAUCAGGUAAAAAGACUGCCUGAUGGUUAAAUUUUCACACACAUUUGUAAGCAGCAUAGGAUCACAUUUUGGGAAAGCAGUUCCCCCUGGUGCUGGGUGAAUGUGGGGAGGGGGGAUCCUUUCACUAACCCCCCAUGAUAUACUGUGUAAGGGUUGUUUUGUGUUUGACUUUUAUUCUGUAAAGGUGAUACCAUCUUUGAGCCAUACACGGCUGGUCUCACAGCUUCUCUGGGCCCCACUCCUGGUGUCCUCCUGUUAGGUAUGGUAGUCUGUAGAGGAAAGGACUGUACAUAUAGAUGUCUACAUUCCUUUGGAGCUUGAAACUUGUGUGAUAAGGGUUCCAGGUAGGGAUGGAAUUUUCUGAAAAAUAUGAGGUCUUCAUGGAUUUAUUUUUCUAAUCUUGCUCCUUAAUCUUGAUGAGAAACCAGAUUGCACUGCUCCCCCUGGUUCUGCUAAAAUUAUGAACAAUUUUCAUGUAUUUCAUGCAUUAUUAUACAUUGAAUAUUAUAUAUGUAUUAUGCAUACAUACACUACAGGUUUCCUUAGGUAAACGGCACAGAUACAUAUCUUGAUCUUGAUCCCCUCCCCCUCUUUCCUUUCUUCUUCUGUUAUGGAACUCCUAUUUGGGGACUUCCCUGGCUUUUUUCUGGCCGAUGUAGGACCAGUCUGGAUAGUUGGCCUUGGUGAAGAUUUGAUGUAUUCAUCCCCAAAAAGUUUUUGAUUUGAGUUUAUACUGAAAUGAGGCUGCAUUUUAAUGUUGUAUUUUAAUCUAGUUUUUAAGUUGUAUUUUAAUCAAUUGUUUUUAUACCUGGUGUUAGCCGCCCUGAGCCCGGUCUUGGCUGGGGAGGGCGGGGUAUAAAUAAAAUUUAUUAUUAUUAUUAUACAACCACGCAUAUACCUGCAAAAAACACAUAUUAAUAUACUUGUAAAAUUAUGCUGCAGAAAUAUACGUAGUACAAAAUGGAGCUUAACUAUUUUAUACAUGUUAGGGGAAGAAGUCUGUGUCCCAAUAACAAGAUCGCUCCAUCAGCACAUGCAUUUUUGCCUACCUGAUGGAGGGAUCUGCCUUCUCCCCCACCCCAUGCUGUUCUGACCCCCAUCCCUGAACUAUGAGUGGCCACAUAAAAGGAGGAGAGGGAGUAAAACCCCCCACUCAAUUUCACUAGAAGGAGCCCUUGCACAGGCUUCCACUGGUGGGGCUCAUUAGUUGAAUCCCAUCCUUUAGAUAUAAAAGUCAUAAUUUUUUGCAUAUAAUUAAUUGAGUUUAUAAAGCCCUGCUCACCAACAAUGCAAUUCUCAGUUGGUUCAGAGCUGCCAAUUUCAGUGUAUAAAUCUAUUUGGUUCUUCUUCCAUCUCUAGUUCUAGCUUCUGGGGAAGUCUACACGUGUAGAGAUGCAUGUAGGUCCACACAUAAAACAUGGAACUUGGGGUGGUACUAGGAUGGGGGGAGAAUCUGUGUAAUCUCAGGGGUGGGGUGAACUGCACUGCCAUACAACCUCACAGAUUGGCCAGCAGUGCAGCCGUACUCCACAGUAACCUUCCAUUCCUGGGUAAGGUGAUUGAGAGAGCGGUUGCUGAACAGCUUGGUAGGUUUCUGGAUGAAACAUCGGCUCUGGAUCCAUUCCAGUCCGGCUUCCGCGCUGGUCAUGGGACCGAGACGGCUCUGGUCGCCCUAACAGAUGAUCUCCGCAGGCAGCUGGAUUGAAGCGGGUCGGGGCUGCUGAUUCUUCUAGACCUGUCAGCAGCCUUCGACAUGGUCGAUCACGAACUCCUGGACCACCGCCUUGCCGACGUGGGGAUCCAGGGCACAGUCCUUCAAUGGCUGCGCUCGUUUCUCUCUGGUCGGGGACAGAGGGUGGCGCUUGGGGGGGAAUUGUCAUCCCGCCAUUCCUUGUUGUGUGGAGUGCCCCAGGGUGUGAUACUCUCCCGAUGCUUUUAACAUCUUUAUGCGCCCUCGCCCAGCUUGUCCGGAGUUUUGGGCUGGGCUGCCAUCAGUAUGCUGAUGACACCCAACUCUAUCUGUUGAUGGAUGGCCAUCCUGACUCGGCCCCAGACACACUGACCAGAUGUUUGGAAGCUGUGGCUGGAUGGUUACGUGGGAGCCGGUUGAAGUUAAAUCCUUCGAAGACAGAGGUCCUCUGGCUGGGACGGGACGAUAUGGGAUUGAGGGGGCAACUCCCAUCUCUUGCGGGGGUGCAAUUAGUGCCAGCACCGUCCGUUAAGAGUUUGGGUGUAAUCUUCGAUACCUCCCUCUCCAUGGAGGCGCAGUUUGCAGCUAUAACAAAGGCGGCAUUUUUUCAUCUCCGCCAAGCUAAGCAGUUGGCUCCUUACCUCUCUCGCCCUGACCUAGCCACUGUUAUCCACACGACGGUCACCUCCAGACUGGAUUAUUGUAACUCGCUCUACGUGGGGCUGCCUUUGAGACUGACCCAGAAACUUCAGCGGGUGCAGAAUGCCGCAGCGAGACUCCUUAUGGGGUCUUCGCUGCGAGAUCACAUUCAUCCGGUGCUAUACCAGCUGCACUGGCUCCCGGUGGAGUACAGGAUCAGGUUUAAGGUGCUGGUUUUAACCUUCAAAGCCCUAUACGGCCUAGGACCCUCGUACCUAUGGGACCGCCUCUCCUGGUAUGCCCCACAGGGGAACUUGCGGUCUUCAAAUAAAAACAUCUUGAAGGUCCCAGGCCACAGAGAGAUUAGGCUGGCCUCAACUAGAGCCAGGGCUUUUUCGGCUGUGGCUCCGAUCUGGUGGAACACUCUGUCACAGGAGACUAGGGCCCUGCAGGACUUGACAUCUUUCUGCAGGGCCUGCAAGACAGAGCUGUUCCACCAGGCCUUUGGUCAGGGUGCAGCCUGACUCCCUCCUUUGGCAAUCUUUACAAAACUUUAGUUUAUGGUUGCCAUCAAUUCUGAUUUUAAUUAAUUUAUAUAAUGUUUUUAUAAUGUUGCACUAUUUUAGUGUUGUUAGCCGCCCUGAGCCUGGCUUCGGCUGGGGAGGGCGGGAUAUAAAUAAAAUUUAUUAUUAUUAUUUAUUAUUAACCUCACAAAUGCUUCUUUAUUCCCGGAACACCACGGAGAGAGAUAUAUUUGGAAGUUUCACCUUCAAAAUACAUAAUAUUUGUUAGCUGAGGCAUUUAAACAACGCAGAUAACAUUCUAAGAGAAAAUCCUAGUAAAAAUUUAUUGAACAAACUGAACCAAAAAGAAUACAUCUUGAACAAAAAGGCACAAAGGAGUUUUGCUUUUCUGACUGACCUUGUUCAGAGCAUGGUUAGCUUCAACUAAAAAUUCACCCCCCAAAAAUCCUCCCUCAGAGCAAGAGAGGAUAACAGAACACAUGCUAACCUCCGUAAAGAUCAUGCCAAGUUCCCUGUUUGCUUUGCAACAUUGCCACUCACUCCUCUUGAGUUGUUGACCAACACUGAGACCAGAAUUAACUCUUAAAUUUCAAACUAAGUGAUCUCGGCGGUUGUACUUCCAACAGCAUUUAAGCAGCAAUCUUAUGUCUAGGUAGAGGAAAUUUACAUGUAAAGGAAUUCUAAAUCAUCAUCUUUUUCUUUUUGGGGUGGGACAAAAGUAUCUAAAUUAGUUAUGUAUACAGCUUAAUGUGGUGAUAUUAAUAAUAAUAAUUUUUCUGGCAAGGGGGAAGCAGCAUGAUUUCAAAAUUAAACUGAUUCACUUUCUCUACUGCAUGUUUUAUUAGUUCAAUAUCAGUUAAUACUCCUCGUGGGUUUUUCUCCUGCACUGUAUAAAUCUCAGCUGAAUGAAGUAAUGUCUUUUGGAACUGAAAAUCCAACCCCCUCAGGAGAAUGUGGGACUCAUUUCUUCCCCUACUCUUUCUCCUAUAUUAAUGCCAGAAAAGAGCUUCAUUCUAAGCACAGCGGCCCUGCGAUUGAUGCCAGAGCGGGGGGGGGGGGAGGGAAGGAAGACGACAUAAACACAAAAGCAACAAUGAUUCUAGACCAGCCUGGUGUCCUCUGGAUGUUUGAACUUAAUUCCCAACUGCCCCAGCCAGCAUGGAGGACACCAGAUUAAGGCUAGUGGUCCAUUCUAACAACUCUAUACAAACAGCUCCAACACAUCCAUUAUAUGUUCCACCCUUUGUUUAGCUUACCAUGAAAUUCUGUUUGUGUCAGCUGUCAAAAUGCUGUGGACAUAGUGUACUUUGAUUUCAGCAGGCCUUUCUGCAGGUCCUACAUGAUAUUCCUGUUGACAAGUUGAUAAAACGUGGGCUAGAUUACACCUUUGUAAGGCUGGACCAUAAAGCUGGACCACAAAGAAGGCUGAUCGCCGAAGAAUUGAUGCUUUUGAAUUAUGGUGCUGGAGGAGACUCUUGAGAGUCCCAUGGACUGCAAGAAGAUCAAACCUAUCCAUUCUUAAGGAAAUAAGCCCUGAGUGCUCACUGGAAGGGCAGAUCCUGAAGCUGAGGCUCCAGUACUUUGGCUACCUCAUGAGAAGAGAAGACUCCCUGGAAAAGACCCUGAUGUUGGGAAAGAUGGAGGGCACAAGGAGAAGGGGACGACAGAGGACGAGAUGGUUGGAUAGUGUUCUCGAAGCUACGAACAUGAGUUUGACCAAACUGCGGGAGGCAGGGGAAGACAGAAGUGCCUGGCGUGCUCUGGUCCAUGGGGUCACGAAGAGUCGGACACGACUAAACGACUAAACAACAACAACAACAAGGCGUGUAUGCAGCUGGUUGAUUAACCAUAUUGAAAUAAUGUUCAUCAGUGGCUCCUCGGUGAGCCUGUAGAGAGGUCACAUGGUUCUUUUCUAGUCGACAAAGGACAAAAUGACAAAGGAAGAAGUAGAGGAGAAGUUUGUCAGAGCUGCAGAUGGCACCAAAAUAGGUGAUGUGGCUAAUACCUGAGAUAACAAAAACAGGAUGAAAUCUUAUCUUGACUGGAUGGAGAACAUGGGUCAUUCAUUUGAUAUGUUUUCUAAUGGAUAGUGCCAAGAAAAUGUAUGAAAUGGAACAUCUAUGGCAGCAAACAUUCAUAAAUGUCUGACCCAGGUUUCCUGUUCCUGUUCUCUACAAGAGUCAGAAAACAAACACCCUGAUAAUGUCACAAGAAUCAUAGCUGGAAUAACUGCAGUGGUAAAUAGAUCUUUAUUAUCAGUAUACCCAAUAAGUAAAUCUUCUUAAAUUUUUCAUAAAGUAGCUCAACAAUUUAUCUUCAGUGAAGCUGAAACUCUACAUUACAAGCUUUCUUGUGAGAGGUAACUCUUUAAAUGAAGCAAUGCACUGAAUAUUGAAAGUGCAUUAUGCUUUAAUUCUCAGUCUGAAGUUCUGUUUUGUUUCAACAAAAGUAUAAUCAUUUUGUCAAGUAGAAAACUGCUAGAUCUUUCUCCUGAUUCUUAAAACGAGGUCUGCAUGCAUUCAUACUGCAGCAGCAGGCUUUGAUAAUCUUAUUCAAAACUGAAUGAGCCACAAAUGACUCGAGAUACUCCCAGGCUUCAAAACCUGUGCAAAGAAUUCCUAAGCAUUUAACUCUUUAUUAAGCAUGGAGGAUGUUCCAGCUGUUGUGAAGACAAGGCCAUUCAUUCACUCUAUUUGUAUGCCGCUUUUCACAAAAAAGAAACAUGCUCAAAGUAACUUACGACAAAAGAACAGGAAUACAUUUCAAACAAACACUCAAAAAAACACAAUUCCACAGUAGCAUAGCAAAAUAACAUAGUAACAAUUUCAUAAGAACAUAGCAAAACAACAGCAAAUAUAAUAACAUAGAAAAAGCCACAUUUCCGUACUAUAAAUAUAACAAGAUUACUUAAACAACGUGCAGCAUCCAAUAUCAAAAAGAGCAACCCUGUUUAGGGAAGUUUUUAAUGUUUGAUGUUUUAUGGUGUUUCAAUAUUCUGUUGGGAGCCACCCAGAGUGGCUGGGGAAACCCAGCCAGAUGGGUGGGGUAUAAAUAAAUUAUUAUUAUUAUUAUUAUUAUUAUUAUUAUUAUGCUACAGCUUCAUGUUUGUCCUAGAAACACCCCUCCAGUGAUGUUCCCCAGUGUCCCUCUCCUGCAGCCAUUUGCAAGGCUGCUGAGGUGUUCCAGUAACAUGAUUAAGCAAUAAUAUUGCAUAAUAGAGGUGCUGAGUUCCACCCAACAUUGGGGGAGCUCGUUGCAUGAGCAUGACAUCACAAGUGCAACACACAUUGGGAGAAGGCUGUGAGGCCCAACAAGACCCACCGCCACUAUGGGGAGGCCCAGGGGGUAACCCCUCAAGAUUGGGGAGGCUCAGCCCCAUCCCCACCUACUUGAGGGUGCUGAGGUGUCCUCAGCCCCACAGAAGUUGGUGCCUAUGUUGCUCACAGUCCUUCUCCUGCAGCAGCUUCUUAUAAGAGCUAUGGUUUUCCCAGGGAAGGCAGGCAACUACCAGCUAAAUCCCAGGUCACUAAUAAGUGAGUUUACCUUGGUUUGUACCCUGAAAGAGUGGUCUACCACACAGAGAACAGAACUAUGGUUUAUCAAGAACAUCUGGAUGGAACCACUUUCGCUACCCAUAAGGAGAAUCAAUUCUCUAAAUAGCCUAUACUGGACAAUCUUAAAGAGAAAUUCUCAAUUGUGAUGCAGUUCCAUAAGGAAUAAGCUCCCUUUUUAUCCUGAUAGAAUUAAGGGAUGGGGGGAAGAGAAUUCUCCCAAGAGGCACCACAGGUGGGCUUUAAAAACUUUUAUUUAUUUUACACCUGGAAUGUGGCAUGUCCAACAGAAAGAGAGAUGAGUUAUUAAGACUUUUCAAGAAUGAAUAUUGUCUGUGAACUGGGAGAUAUUUCCUAUUUAUUCCUGGGACAUAUGAAAGCAGCAACAUAUUUUGGGAGUGUUCUGACUGAAUGGCUUCCUUGGUGCCACUAAAACAAAAGAGGUGUGUGUGUGUGUGUGUGUGUGUGUGUGUGUUCCCUUUUUGAAGGCAUGAAACAACUGCAAAGUGCUGAAACAAAAUGUCCUCUUUCAGAUAGGAAAUCCGUAUAAUACAGUAUUGUAUAAACACCCCAGAAUAUUUGCUAAUCAAUAUUCAUGCAACAUCAUAUAGAAGACAUGACAACCACAUAUUGGAAACAUGGGUGAGUGAGCAGUGAGCAGCAAUUUUAACAAGAUGUAUGCCAUCUCAUUGAUAGUAAUACCAACUGCAUGCUUUUUGUCCACUGGUAAUAGGGUUAAAAUUGUGAAAAACAACAGUCAAUGCAGCUAAAGCGUUCAGAACUUAGAUAACACAUUGAAAGAUGAAGCUCCCAAUAUCAUAGACAUAAGGAAUUCAAAUAUGAAAAUAAAACUCAGUCUGCUCUUUACAGCAUUCAUAACUGAAAAAUAUAUUGACAAAAGUGGAGAGCUUUACAGAGCUGACAGUAAGGAAUACUUGAGGAAUACAUAUAGCCUGUCACAAACCAAUGAGCUAUGAAAGUGGAAAGUAUUUUACGUCUGUGAGUGUGUGUGUGCGCGCUUAUGUGUGGAAGUCUCAGUACUUAAAGUAAAAUGAGCACCCUUUUCCUAAUCCCUUGUUUAAAGGUUAGCCUAUUAGGUUUUAUUGGGUUUUUGGCUAGAUUUGUAGGGCUGCCUUUGUAUAUCAUCCAAUCUGAUUAUGACAGCUAGCAUGCUGUGUGCAAAAUAUUAAAAGUGGGACACUAGCAACUAAUGAAUGGUUAAAUAAAUAAUGGGAUUAUGUGGCAAAACCUAAAAUAACAAAUUAUGUUCAUGUUAAAGAAGGAAUGCAAAGGUUAAAUGUAUGUUUUAUUGGGAAUGGCAUGUGUGUAUUUUGUAACAGAAAGGAUAUAAAGAUUAGAAAUGCUUUUUGUAAAUUAUAUGUGUGCAUUUGCAUGCAUUUGAUUUAGAAGUGCAGAUGUUCAAACAAUCAAAUAAACAACCUUCAGUUGGUUCAGCAAGGAGCUAACCGAUUGCUUACUGGGGCAGAGGAAUGGAAGCAGUUGAUGUUUACCAUGAAAGAACUUCACAGGGGCUCUCUUGUUAGUUUUCUGAGUACAAGUCACAGCUGCACACAUUUAUGAAGGGCAACUGUACUCCUUGCAACUUAAUUUAAGGUCCUGGAUGCCAAAUGGGCCUGAGCAGAUUCCUAAUAAAAACCCGCUAAAAAUUGACUACACUCCUGUGGACUGCACACUGUGAAUAGCCCUUUCAUCAGCAAGGAGACACCUCAAGGCUAUCUUCUUGCUGACUUCUCUAGCUCGUCUGCCAGCCUUUGGAUGGUCAAGGCUCUGCUUUUAUACUGGGUGGUUUUCAUGUAGGAUUAACCUUUUUUGCCAUUUUGAAAUCCCCAUGGAAGAACAGCUUUGCAAAGCUCAGUUGCUCUUUUCUGUCUGUUCUUGGAGCCUGUAAUAUUUAGGAAUGUAGUGAAACUCUUGUUUCUAGCAUUUACUUUGGAGAUGAGCUAAUCUGUGAAAACACAACAUCUGCUAGAGCUAUAAAACAAAUGAAAAUUAAUUAGGUAUUUGAAGGUCUGCUUUGGAGACAAUAGGGUUUUUAAAGUUUACUAACUUCUCAAAGGGCUUAAACUAUUUAAUGGGAGUUCAGUCUGUAAAAUAUGUUGGUUGCUACUAGUUUCUUGAUUCUUGUAUUCUCGCAACAUAUUUUCACUUUGCUGGAAAGUCUGAGAGGAUUAGAAACAUGAGAUCAAUCUCCAAGGAGCUUUGCAUGCAACCGAUAGCCAAGAUCAUUCCUUUCUCGUGUAGUAAGUUGCCAUCAUAAUCUCUUCCAUCUCUAGUGCUGCUGCAUCCUGUCAAACAUAUAUAGAUAAUUUUUCAUAUAAUCUUCAUUUAUUCUGCAUACAGCUUUUCGUUUACAUACAGCUUCCUUAGCAAAAUAUAUGAAGAAUGGUUCUCCCUUGUGAAAAGCCUGGAUGGUUCUCCUGAGUGAAAGCAGAAAAGCUUACAUUUCCAGGAGAGAAAGAUUUAUAUAGCUUAUGUAUUAGGGAUGGGUAAAUCUGGCUAUUUCUGUUCUGACAGUGUAAUCCUAUGUCUACUCAGAAGGAAGUCCUAUUGAAUGAAAUAGGACAACAAAUAUGUGCUCUUCAAGGCCCACAUUCCCAGCAUGUUUGCACUUCUGACUCAGUGACAUCUAUGCUGGCUUGGUCAUGUACACAGAAUGGAAGGUGGCAGGAUCCCCAAGGAUGUGCUUUACGGGGUGCUGGCUUCAGACACCAGGCCUGGUAGCAGACCAACUCUGCGUUAUAAAGAUGUCUGCUGAAAUAUACUCAGAGUCAAGUAGUAAUUUCAUGCUCUUUAUUUCAGCUCAUAGGUACAGUGAUUGAAUUUCCCCCCCAAAAAACCUCAUGCUUUAUAUACAUUAUUUACACAAUAGGUCCCGUGUGAUUGGCUGACUGCUUCCCAUCUGGAGCCUGAUUGGGCUGCACUUGCAGGCCAAUCAGGUUGUUGCAUUCUAGGAUCGUCCUGACCUAAUAGGCUGAUAAGCUUCCUCCUGGGGCCUGAUUGGGUUGCUCCUGCAGGCCUUCAUCUUCCUCAACCACAAUCAUAAUAAAAAAAUGGCACCACAACUCUCCAAUGGUUUGUCUUUACCGCCAAUGGCACACUCUUCCAUUGUUUUGCAAAACAGACAGAUGCCCAUGUUAGGUUGAGUAAGGAUUGCAGCCUCAAUCACUUCUAGCCAGAAUGACUUUUAGAUUAUGUUCUUGUACUAUGGGGAUUAAGGGGCGGGCAUAAAAAAUGGAUUUUGCAAGCCUUUCCAGUUGCCAGGAGACUUAAACAUUGAGCCUGGAAGGAUCAACACCCAUUAUCUAUUAUGUAAUGGUCUGAGGACCUUAACACCCUUGCUACAUUUGAAUACACUUUUUUUAGAAACAUCAUUUUGAAUACACUUUUUUAGAAACAUCAGCUUUGUUUGAAUACCUGUUUUGACAUCCAGAUGGCAUAGAUUGAACUCUAUGUGUAAACCAAGAUGUAUGUGUUGAUGGUUAUUGUAUUAUGUAUGUGAGCUGGCAGGGUUUUUCUUGUGUUUUCUCUUUCUUUUUUCAUAUGUUCCCCAUGUUUUUCUUUUUCUUUAAUACAUUUGCAAUAAGAGAAUCAAUAACAAUUGUUUGCACCCCAAAAUCCAUCACUGUUCUGCAUUAAUCUUCAACAAAACAAAAAUAUUAUUUAAGUGCAUACUUUAAUACAUGGUUUAAUGCAUAAUUUUUCUCGAAAUAUGAAUUUCACUGUGGGAGUUUGGGGCUCAAAAUGUGUAUUUUGCUACAUUUAGCCUGCUGAGAAAUGUUUCACAGCAUUAUGAUAAAUCAAAUUCUUAUAGGGACAUAUAUUCACAUUUGAAAUUAUGGAUUCAUUCAAGGUAAAAUGCACUUGUAGAAGAUAAUUAUGUUGUAAUGUGCAAGAAAAUUACCCUGGCCUUUUGACACCUGAGGUGUGUUUUCCCUAUUCCACUGAGAGUCAUUUGUUUUAACUGUUUUUAAUGCUGAAUUUAUUAUUGCUGAAACCAGCUCUGGGGUCUGCUGGUGAAGGACAAGUAAUAAAUAUAAUAUCAUCACCAUCAACAACAAUGCUUAAGUGAACAUCUCAUUCAAAAAUGUGUUACAUUGGGGAAAUUUCCUUGCAAAAAUGUACCUAUUGGGAGAAAUGUGCGUAAAAAUACUGGCAAAUUUUCAUGAAGACUUUUAACAAAACGUGUUCUCCCUAGCAGAGAGCACGUGUUGUGGUGGGGGAUACAAGCCACCCCAGUGUUGCUGGGCGGAUUUGCGGAGUGACCCAGGCAGUGAAUUUGUUAAUGGGGUCGCUGGGGAGAAUUGCUUGUUGCCAAUUUUGAAGGAGGGAUCAGAGGUUUUAAAUAUUGGACGCCCAACUUUGGGCGUCUUCUUGGCUGCUUGCACCGGAUCACCCGCCCACCCUCCCUGUAUUGGGGGGGGCUGUUUGCUUGACCUUGCUAUGCCUAUCAUGGGGUCGUCUGCUUUGAGGCAGGGGCCUGGUAGGAAUUUUGUCCAUUUGGCUGAUUGGCUGGUGCCAUUUGGUUUUUGCCUACUGCGUAGCAAAUCAUCACAACUUGUAAGGUUGGCGGUUAGGCAUUGGUUCAAAUUGGUUGGUGGAGGGGUAAGUGCCUACCCCUCCAAUGGUGGUGCGGAAAGGGAAUUCCAUUAAAGGAAUCCAGGGGCUUGCCAUUCUUUUCGUCCUUGUCCCUGGCAUCGGACUUGGGCCGUGCAAGCCACCAGGAGCAUGAGGGUGAGAAGUGAGGGACUGAGGUCCAGCUUCAUUUUCUCCCCAAAAUUGUUUCCCUCACUGGCUUCCGCUGGAAUCCGGAAGUCAGUUCUGUCCCUGGGCAAGGACAGAUAGUUGGAACCAAUGCCUAAGCAACCACUCACUUGUGUGUAUUUAAAUAAAGUUGUGGCCAAAAUCUUGCCAAAAACCCAAACCAAAAUUGAUGUGUGAUGUGUGAAUUAUUGGGGGGUGGCUUGGAGACGUCGACACGCAAAACACACACACACACACAAGCAAUGAGGUAGAAUUGUGGUAGACUGGAUUUAAGGUUGGAAAAAUGAGAAGCUGAAGUUGACAUACCCAACCAUUCUUAGGGCAUAAAGACAUACGUAAGACGAGCCUGCAGGAUCAGGAUAAUGGCCCAUCUAGUUCAGCAUCCUUUUCUCACAAUGGCCAACCAGGUGCCUAUGGGAAGCCCACAAAAGGACCCAAGUGCAGGAAUACUCUUCCCUCCCUUCCAGCAACUGGUAUUCAGAAACAUUGCUACCUCUGACUAUGGAAGUAGAGCAGAGCCACCAUGGCUAGCAGCCAUUGACAGCCUCACCCUUUAUGAAUUGAUCCAGUCCUCUUUUAAGGGCAUCCGAGUUGAUGGCCAUCACCGCCUGACAUGGGAGUGAGUGCCAUAGUUUAACUAUGUGCUUUGUGGAAAAGUACAUCCUUUUAUCUGUCCUGAAUCGUCCAGCCUCAGGCCCUCCAGGCCUCUUUCUCCAGCCCUUGAGAUUGUCCCAGGUUUAGGACCACCUCCUUGGUCUUGUAGUGAGGUGGAAGCUUACUGGGAAAUGAUAUAUAAUGAAUUGAAAAGGAUGUUUAAAAUAACGUUUGUAAAAAAAUAACCCAGAAGUUUUUCUUUUGGGAAUUAUAGGGGCAGAACUACCCAAACUGUAUAGAAACCUAUUCAUGUAUGCUAUUACAGUGGCAAGAAUGUUACCUGUCCAAAAUUGGAAAGAAGUAGAAGUCCCAGCAAAGGAAGAAUGGAUAUAAAAACUUAUGGAAUAUGCAGAAAUGGCGAAAUUUACUGGAAAAAUAAGAAAUCAAGAUAACAAACUUUUUAUAAAAGAAUGGAAAUGGUUUAUUGAAAAUUUACAGAUAAAAUAAAAACAGAUAAGAACAUUGGCAGGAUUAUUGUAAAAACCUGAAGUUUCAUAAGAAUAUAUAUUUAAGGUAGAUGAAUAAAUGAACAAAUUAAGUUAAUUUGAAUAUGCAGAAGAUAUUAAAAAAAUAAAUGAAAGGAACUGCAGAAAGAGGGGGAAGGAAGUCAAGCUUUGAAAUGUUAAAAUGACUGUAAAAUUAUUGAAAUGUAUAAACCUGAAAAUCAUAUUAUUUUUUAAAAAAGGCUCGGACCACCCCCAGGCCAACAUACAUCUCUCUCUCCCCGGAACAAAUCCUUCACUGUCCCUUCUCUACAGCCUCCCCAGUGCUUACACCCUUGAAUUUUGAUAAUGCUUCUGGUUUGCCUGUACAGUGGUACCUUGGGUUACAUACGCCCCAGGUUACAGACUCCGCUAACCCAGAAAUAGUAAGAACUUUGCAUCAGAAUGAGAACAGAAAUCGCGCAGCGGCGGCGCGGUGACAGCGGGAGGCCCCAUUAGCUAAAGUGGUACCUCAGGUUAAGAACAGUUUCAGGUUAAGAACGGACCUCCAGAAGGAAUUAAGUUCUUAACCUGAGGUACCACUGUAUGGAGAAUGAUGCGCAGGGUGGUGGUGGUAAGGAUGCUGUUGCAAUCUCAAACUUCUGGAUGGGUGAAAUCUAGUCCAUUGUAAAAAGGUAAGACUCACAUCCCCCCUUUUUUUUGUCUCAGGUCCAGCCUGCCGCCAGCAUACAGCCCCCGGAAGAUUGGCCAUGAUGGAAUGCAGUCCUCAGGCUGAAAAAGUUUCCCCACAUAAUAUCCUGUUUCCUUUUGUAAAAAGAAAGAAAUGUCUUCAAGUAUAUCCAGAGUUUAGCCUGCAGUUUGACAAAACAUCCUUAUUGUGUAUGGAUUCCAGACCUACUUGUCCAACUCAAUUACUGUUCCAAUCUAGUCAUGCUGAUAGAAUUUACAGAACAGCUUCUCUAUUUUCCCACAUUUUAAUUCUGUUACACAUUUGACUGUGAAUUUAUUCUGGUCGGGCAAAUGAUUGUGGGGCGAGGUGGGGGAGCAACUGAACCGACCUGAAGAGAAGGAGAAAAUAAAAUAAAUACUUUUUUUCUUUUGCUCUUCCCUAUUCCAUAAUAUGGAAUGGAAUCGACCAUGAAUGAAGAGGGAUGAUGGAUAUGGGAGUAGAACUAAAUAAGAAGGUAAAGGUAAAAGGACCCCUGAUCGUUAGGUCCAGUCGUGGACGACUCUGGGGUUGCGGUGCUCAUCUCGCUCUAUAGGCCGAGGGAGCUGGCGUACAGCUUCCAGGUCAUGUGGCCAGCAUGACUAAGCCGCUUCUGGCAAACCAGAGCAGCGCACGAAAACGCCAUUUACCUUCCCUAUUUAUCUACUUGCACUUCAUGUUUUUGAACUGCUAGGUUGGCAGGAGCAGGAACCGAGCUACGGGAGUUCACCCCGUCGCAGGGAUUUGAACCGCCGACCUUCUGAUCGGCAAGCCUUAGGCUCUGUGGUUUAACCCACAGCACUACCCACAUCCCUGAAAUAAGAAAGUAAGAUACAAUAAGUAAACUAAUGUUUGGCUCCUUAAACAAAGGAAAGGAGAAAUUCAUCAAACACAUUGCUGCCUAGCUCUUGGUUUCAGGUAAAUCCCCAAAGUGGCAUAAAAUGAACAAAACUAUAUGCCUGCAUGACAAGGAAGAAGUUAAUCAUUUAUAAUUUGAGGUUAUGGUCUGGUCUUGCCUCACUCUUCAACUCCUUUGUUUGGGAUUAAAGUCCUGUUCCCAUUGCAUCCAGCCACCCAGAACCCCUUGCAAAAGGAAGCAAGAGAUUUCUGACCCCUCUAGCAGAUGUACCAUGUAGCGAGGAAUGCGGAAUCUGUCACCCUAUAUAUUUUUAGACCACGUGGAAUUGAUUAGAACUCAGGAGCUGCUCUACAUCUGACCACGUCACCGCUUCUCGUGUUCACACUGAGUGAUUAUUAUGGUUACAGUGCAAGGGACUUGUGUACUAGACACGCAGGCCAGACACAAAUCUCUCUGUAUAAGAAAGUGAUUGUUUUAUGUGUGCUGACCACACUGUCCCAACUAUAGGCUUGCCAUACGUCUGUCAAAUUCCAAACAUGCCAGGAAAUCGAACAUAUAAAAUGGCGUCCGGAGGGGAGUUUUUGAAUUUUAAGAGAUGUCAGGAAUUUCCAGGACUUUUGGGGGGUUUUCUGCCCCCCCCCCAUUUUUCCAGGGUUUAGAGGUCACUUCCCUUGGCUGGGGAGUGGGGGGAGAAUGAGGAGGCGGGGGAGGGAGGAGGCAAUGCAGUUGGAAAGAAACAUCAACAAGGAAUCUUGUAGGCUGGUAAAGGGGGUUGCUGGUCCCGACUGUGUGUGUGACUGUGUUGCUGCAAGAGGAGAGGUGCAGGGAGAGGGGGAGCGAAAACAGCUGAGAGUAUGUAAACACUGGCACCAACAUCUGUUGGGAAAGGAAUUCUGAGCAGGGUGGGUUUUGUGUGUGUGUGCAUUAAGCAUUCUCUCUCUCUCUCUCUCUGAGGAUAGCUCAGCAGGAGACUCCUAAUCUCAAGGUUGUGUGUUUGCAUCCUGCAUUGCAGGGAUUGGACUAGAUGAUCCGAAGGCAGGGGUCCUCAAACUUUUUAAACAGGGGACUGGUUCACUGUUCCUCAGACACUGUUGGGGGUCAGACUAUAGUUUGAAAAAAAUAUGAAUGAAUUUCUAUGCACACUGCACAUAUUUUAUUUGUAGUGCACAUUUUGAGUUGUUUGUCUUAAUAGCUACCUGACAUAUUAUUAUUAUUAUUUCUUGUGUUUAAAAAUAAUAAUUUCAUUUUGAAAUAUAGAAUAGAUAGUAAGUAUACAAACAUAUUGACUGCAUUAUUCUUUCAUUAAAGGGCCAACAUGGUGACCUACAACUUUUCCUUUAGGAAACUUCUAAAGUUACUAGUUCUUCCAAACUGUGGGCCCUGCCCACAAGAUUAAAACCUAGCCAACAGUAUAUUGUUGGAGUAUUCUUUAGAAGUUUCUCCCUAAUCUGGCCUGACUAUCCAUAAGCACUUAGGCAAACCUGGCCUGCUAUUGUGCUCAGUUUCUGUCUGUGAGCUUCCAACAGUCAUAUUGACCGUCUCUCUGAGAACAGUAUGCUGGUCUAGAUGACCCUUUGGCCAGAUCCAGCAGGACUCUUCUUAUUCAUUUCCACCCCCAUCGUUCAGCUCGGACACUGAGAUCCAGCGCCGAGGGCCUUCUGGCGGUUCCCUCAUUGCGAGAAGAGAGAUUACAGGGUACCACCACCUUCUUGCUGGUGGUGCCCGCCCUGUGGAACACCCUCCCUUCAGAUGCCAAGGAAAUAAACAGCUAUCCUAUUUUUAAAAGACAUCUGAAGGCAGCCCUGUUUAGGGAAGUUUUUAAUAUUUAUUGCUGUAUUGUUUUUAACUCAAUUGGGAGCCGCCCAGAGUGGCUGAGGAAACUCAGCCAGAUGGGUGGGGUAUAAAUAAUUAUUAUUAUCUUUUGGGAAUGUUUCCCUUUUUCAGUCACAUGCCUGGAUCCAGUAUUUUGCUUCUCUUCUGUAUCCAGUUCUGCUUUAUCUCAUGACUGAUUCCAAUCCUGCUCUGAUUCUUUUGAGAUGAGUUUUAAAACAACGUUUUUUUGGAUGUUUUUUGGAACAUCCAAAGGCUGAAGUGUACAUAAGUCUGUUCUAUGACAACCUUAAGCCGAAGAUACGCAGAGCAGGGCUAAGUAAUUUUGUCGUCAACCAUCUCUUCCCCUUCUUUAGCAGCUGACAAAUUUUAUAGAAAAUCCUACCCUGCAUCAAAAUUACUCAGGAUUCUAUAUGAUUUCAUAAAAAUCCCAAAUGUCAUUCCUCACAAGUGUUUAGCUUACAUGCACAUGGAUGAGUGUCCCUUGUUCUUAAUCCCAGAUCAGGCUGUGCUGCCUGUAAUUCACUGAGGGCAAGGCAUGUGUCACAUACGCCAUGCUUCUAACUUUUGAGCCAACAUUUUCUUUGUCGGGCUUCAGUCUUUUCUCAGGUGUUCUUUCGGAUGGGCUAUCUCCUUAGCACACACACCCAACCCCUUAACUCUUAAGACAGCAAAAUGUGAAAGGGUGAAGAAUAGCCUGACAGAGUUUGAUAUCAAUGCCAUCGUGUUUUCUAGAAAGCACCAUAUGUUUUUCCUAGCUGCAUAGGAGAUAGAAAUUCAUUCUUCAGUACUUUCCACCUUCGUGCUUUGAUACCUAAGAUUUAUUAUGUUUUAUUGAAAUUCUCAGGUAUUAUAUGCACUAACUCUAUAGGACUGAGGAGUCUUCAGGCCCCUCAAAGUCUGUUGGGAUGGGGCUGAGCUUGAGGGAGCAGAGGAGGCCAAGCACGAUCUCUCAGCCAUUCACCCGGUGCCUUUCUCAUUACGGGGUGGCCAGGACUGUCUGGAACAUCCCAGGGGCGAAAGGAUGGCUCCCCUUCUCACCCCUGCCGCUGCACUGUCUCCCAACGGGGCACCGCCUCUGCUAUAUCUUCUGCUCCAGCUUCCGGAGAGGUAUGAGCAGGGAUUACAAGUCCCAUCAUGCCGCAGCCCCAUCCAUUCCUUCUGCCUAGCUGACUUCCUUCAGGGCCAGCAGUGGCGAGGCCAGCGAGCCAGGAGCCAAGUACAGUGGCGUAGCUAGCUGCUGGGGUGCCCGGUUCCGGGGCGUGUCCUGCAGUCAGGGGCGGGGCGAUCUGCCCAUGGGGCGGGGCAAGACUCUCCGAUGCUUGGAGCCUCUCCGCCACCUCCCCCUCAGCUGUAGAGCUGCUGAGGGAGAGGCAGUAGGCAGAUGCAAGUCCCAUGCUGCUGUUUCAGGCAGCACGGAACCUGCAGGCACCUAAGCCACCACAUCACUCCUAAAAAGUUUCGUGAGCCCAUUUUUUUUAUAAAACUCAUUUUGUCACACACAUACCCCUCAGUGAUGACACCUGAGGUGGACCACAGCCCCCCACCCCCUUCCUCCGCCAAUGGCCAAGUGCAACACUGUGCCACACAGCCGGACUCUGUGCUCAGCCUGCUCCCGAUGUGACAGGCACAUGUGCAAUCAUGUUGGGCACUACUCAACGCCUCUGUCAGCUAUCAUCGUGGAAUAGAGAGUGCAUAGAGAGAUGUUCACAAUGUGAAAAUUAUACCGCUUUGCAAGAACCUUAUCAUGGUGGUGUGUGUGGGGGGGGAAUAAACAUGCCUAUCCUUAGUUUGUCUUGGGCAGAAAGCACAGUGCUUUAUAGAAUAUUGUUGGCUGCCAUUUUUAAAAAUCCACUCAUCUUUAGCCAUAAAUAUAAUGCAUAAACCUACAUUUCUUUUCCCUUUUUUAUUCAACUUUUCCUCCAGAUGGAUUGAAUAUGGAGGGUGAGUUAAAAUUUAUGAUCUCAAAAAAAUAAAAAUAAAAAAAUCACAUACAUACCGCAUAAAGGAAAUAGAAAAUUAUCUAUGUGAUUAAAUUAGUGUUUGGUUGUAAGUCACUUUGGGUUUCCCUGGGCAAGACAAAGUGGCAGACAUAUUUAAUAAAUAAAUAAUUGAAGAAGUAGAUGGAUGACACAUACACACUUUCUAUGCUGUUAAACAGCUUUUCUGGCUGUUAUUCCAGUCAACUCAUUGUUUGAGAAAACCACACACAUUUCCAGCAAUAUAUGCAUUUUGACACACCCUUUACUCCAGUAUAUACAGUUUUGUUCAUGUUACUUUCCUAGAGAACUGCACUGGAAAAUUUAUAGAAGUAGGGCUUUCAAAGCACGGGUGUCUUUCAGUUUUCAAUUAGUUGCAGAAAGUGUGAAUUAGAUAGGUUUGCCUUUACAAGUGAACUGAACUGAAUUCCUCUCCCAUCCUAGCACGGAGCAGUAGCAGAGUGGAAAAACUGACAGCAAAAGAGGUAAAAGGUUGGAACAAUUUGAGUCUCCAGGGGGGAAAAACACAUGACACAGGUGAAUAUUCAGUACAGUCCUAGAGUCUUAUGGGAAUCAUGUAUGAACUUGACUGAAUCACCACCGCCAUCAUAAUUUAUUACAGUCAAAGACCAGCUCGAAAAGCACAACUGGGACAGCUUUCACAAGAAUAAAAUGUACAUGUAAAGCAGCGUAAAGCAACAGUUUAAAGAUUAAAAUCUAAGAUAAGUGCAUAUGCACAUAAAGACCUAAAAAUUUGGGCUACCAUGCAAAUUUGCCCUGCCAACCUGGAGGCCAACUUUGACUGUUUUCCUGAACCACCAGUUAUUUGUCCCUUAUGUAGUUUCUUUCUUCUUCUUUUUUUAAAAAAUACAUCUUUAUUCAGCUGAAGAUACUUUGGUGAUGUAAGCAACUUGGCAAUGAUCCAACCUUGAUUGUCAGCUAUGGGAAGCAAAGAAUUUCAAGCGCAAGCUUUUCCAAAGCUGAUAGUGGAAAGCCCCAGAUGUGCAUGUAGUCUCUGGAUGAGUUUUAAUGGAUUUUUUUGCCAGCAGAAGGAAAACCUUUAGUAUAUUUUGGUGCUUUCCUGUUUUCACAAUAAUGCCUAGAGCACCUUGAGUAUGGCAAUGAUAUGUGAAGACAUCGGCAGUCACUUUCACAUAGAAGGAAUGCAUUAGCACAGACACUUCUGUCAUGGCCAUAUUGAAACAUCGCUACUCUCUGAUGGGAACUUUCAGGAAAAAUUAAACAAAAUGUGGAGGCUCAUAGCUCUAAAAUUCUAAGGAGUAAUGAGAUGCUUUAUUUACAAAUUAUUUUAUUUAGAUUAUGGAUAUACCACUCCAUAUUUCAAAUCCCCUCCCCCCAAAAAAUGUAUUUUUGUUGACAUAUUUCAAAUCUCUGAGCAGUUCGCAACAGCAUAACAUUGUAAAUUAAAAAAAUAGAAAUAAAUAAUCCACACUUAGAUAAGAUCACCUCUAAAAAUCAAUGUAAAUGAGAAACAGCUAACAUGUGUUGUCGUUGUUGUUGUUUAGUCGUUUAGUCGUGUCCGACUCUUCGUGACCCUAUGGACCAGAGCACGCCAGGCACUCCUGUCUUCCACUGCCUCCCGCAGUUUGGUCAAACUCAUGCUGGUAGCUUCGAGAACACUGUCCAGCCAUCUUGUCCUCUGUCGUCCCCUUCUCCUUGUGCCCUCCAUCUUUCCCAACAUCAGGGUCUUUUCCAGGGAAUCUUCUCUUCUCAUGAGGUGGCCAAAGUAUUGGAGCCUCAUCUUCAGGAUCUGUCCUUCCAGUGAGCACUCAGGGCUGAUUUCCUUAAGAAUGGAUAGGUUUGAUCUUCUUGCAGUCCAUGGGACUCUCAACAUGUAGGGACCGUAAUAAUUAGUAACAGACCAAAAUAUAGAAAUAUAGCAGAGACAACCAGCCCCACCCACAUGCAUCUAUUAACAGGUAGCAGCACUCUCACUUCUGCCGCUAUUGCUCCAACUUAAGAUCACCCAAAGGUAGAGCAGAAUAACACACUCCCCACCGAUAGAGCUCCCUGCUGUCACCAGGGAACACCCAUAAUUAUUCCUGCCCCAGGAAGAAUUACACAUGUCCCACACCCCUAGUGCUCCUUGCUCUUACCAGGGAGCACCCCUAAAUACCCAUGAAUCAAAAGCAAAACAGGGUAGUGAGCUCACCCUUGAUAUAACCCAAAUGGGUGAUCAGUGUCAGCACUAUGGACUGGGAGUGUGCCUAACAAGCCCCAGGUUAUCUCCAACCAUCUCCUCCAGCUUCUUCUGUUUAGGCUUGGCUGCAAGGUCUGUAGUCUUUUGGCUGAGAUCCUUUGUGCUCUUGUUCACCCCGAGGGUUCACACCUCAAGCAAGUGAACACCUCUUGUUCACUUCAGUUCACCCCGAGGGCUCACACCUCAAGCAAGCUGUGAGGCUUCAUGCAACAUCCCAUACAUCCAGUCAAGACAUUUACCUGGUUCUCCUUUCCGGUUCUCAUGUAUUUUUGUUAGUCAUUUUUAGAUCUGGAAAAGCAUGUGCCAACAUAGAUUUCCUUCAGAAUACAGGCUAGAUCCAGGAAAUGGAUCCUCGAUACUUUCUCUACCAGUUGGCCAGCUAUACUUUAUCUCUUGACCAUGUUGGUCUUGUCUUUUCUUUGAAGUCAACAUUCUGGCUAUCCAUACAACAUGGCAGAUUCUGACAUAAUUAAUCAGCAAGUACAGGCAGCUUUAUGCCAACCAGGACUUGUCACCAAAUUUGUCCCAUAUUGAUCACAUUUGCCAUGUUAUCAAGACGUUAUACUUCCACAAACAGCCUCUGGCAUGCUAGGAUUGCAUCGGGCAAAGCAGUGAACAGCUGAUUCUGAUUCCAGCCUAGACACAUGAACAUAUCCCUUAAAAUAUCACAGACCAGUCAUGGACCCAGAUGGCAAAAGAUUGAUGUUCUCCCCACCCCCUUACACUUUAAAAUGUAUAUGAACGAUUUAACAUCUGCAGUGUGUCUGUGCUUCAUUUUUGUGUGCAGUGAUGACCUCACCCUCUAGGUUGCCUUUUUUGGGGGUACCUAACCAUCAUAGAGUUUUAAUAAACCUGAGCUCACUGAGUAAUCACAUCUGGAUUGCUGCAUGUCAAGAGCAGCGCUUGCGGGUGGGGUGGAGGGAGGAGAAGAAAGGGACCAGGCCAUAGCUCUACAAAUCAAAUGUUAUGGUACAUGAAGUAGUUUUGAGGUGGGAGAUGACUAUAUGUUCCAGAUGUUAUGCAAAUACACUUUUUACAAGCACCUACUGUGAAUUCUGAAAAGAAUUAGCAUUCAAACGUUACUGAUGCUAAAACAGAAAUGGAGGGGGUAGGAUGGAAAUCCCUACAGUAUCCCAGAAGACCAGGAGUCUCUCUGCAUCACCUUCUGAAACUAUGCUCUCCUUGUCUUCUCCUAGACUGAAUGGAUUCACCUAAAUGCCAUGGCCUCCAGCCUUGCUGCUGUGAAAUAGAAGGAUGCAAUGUCAUAUGCCACUGAAAGCUCCAGGAGAAUCAACAGGGUUGCAGUUCCCUGUCCAUUUCUGGUACAAAUUAUCCAUCAGGGUGGGGAUAGCCAAGAUGGAUAGCCCUCCAGAUGUUGUUGGACCACAACUACCAUCAUCCCUGAAUUUACUUGGGACUCUUGAGAGCUAUGGUGUGGAGAGCACCACAAAGGCUAUCUCUGCACUAAGGUAGACAAGGUCAGUUUGGUCGAUAAGCUAGGCCACAAUUUUGACUGAAAUGGCUCCAGGUGAUGAUAUAAAGGGUCCACUCCCCAGUCUUGCUGCUCCUCCAAAUGAUAUUAUGUAUUAUACAUCAAAAUGACAGAACAAGCAUGCCAUUUUCAUGAACCAGCAUCUCUCGCUCUCCUCAGAUGGAUGUUUAUUCAACUGCAGUGGUACACACAACAUUUCUGUAAUUUUAUUCCAUGGGUAUUAAACUUGACUUUAUUGAGAACUGCUAUUCAUUUUGUUUUCAGACCACCACAUUUUCUGACCUUGUAGACACCAUGAAGGAGAACACUUAAAAAAAGAAAAAAAGAAUUAAUAGCAUUAGGAUUUAUGUUAUUGUUUGUGUGUGUGUGUGUGUGUGUGUGUGUGUGUGUUUCAACUGGAACACUUCCAAAAGGGUCCUGAGGAAUUGGCACAGUGAACUAGGGCUUGCAUUUUGCUUCUGUGCUUUGGGACAGAGGUCCAAGUUCCCACUCAGCUGAAUGAGCAAAAGGGUCACUAAACACAGCAGGGCUGGCCGGCCACAUUUUGAAUUGAAAUGAUGUACACAGUUAAUAUCUAAAGAAGGGCUGAGGAACUUUUGCCCCCCCCAAUGUUGCUGAACUACAACUCCCACCAGUCAUGGCCAGUUUCCAGAAAGCAAUCCAAAACGUCACCCAAGAUAAGUAGAAAUGGGCAUUGAAACAAACUGAAAUUGGUAAAUAUAUUAAGCCCUGUCCUUCAAAUACUUAUUUCCAAGGCAGCUAACCAACUAAGCAUAAAACUAUAAACAAUACAGUACAAAAUGAAAAUGACAGCUGAACUGCAUAAAACAGCUAAUGUAAACACAUUGCCAGAGUUAUAAGUCAAGAGCAACAUAAAACAUUACAGCAGUUAAAAAGCCUGGGAUUUUUUUAAAAAGGUCUUCAACAGGCAUCAACAAUAUGUGAGUACACCAGGAAGGGACCUAGAGUAGUGGUACAACAUCUGCUUUGCCUGGGUUCAAUUCUUGACAUCUCCAGGUAAGUUUGGGAAAUUUUCCUGUCAGAAACCCUGGAGAGGUACUGCCAGUCAGAGUAGACAAUAUUGAGUUAGUUGGACUAUAUUGGUCUGAUUCAGUGCACAGCAGCUUCCUGUGUUCCUAUUAACCCAGAUGAAAAUGCACACUCCUUUUUUUUUAAAGCAUAGCUUUUUGAGACAGUGCUCUAUAAGGCAUCUUCCUAUCCUCUUAUGUGCACACCAGGCGCCCCCUCCCCUCAUUCCAGAGGCCUCUCCUCAAUGACUUCAGGCAGCAACUGGAGCCAGCAGAGAAACUCCAUAAAUGACUCCAGUGCAUGGACAGACUGAUAUGGGGGCCAGCCUUCCUUCAGAUGAAUAUGAAUAGUUCUUUGUAAGGCAACCACGGGCAGCAGAUACUAAAGGGGGUGUGUGUGUAGACAGCUUCAGGAAGGUGUUGGAUGAGAUAGGUCUAUGUGCCAUGCCUUGUGAUCCUUUAGCCAUCCAGCCAGUCUCAGGUGUGAUGGAGGAUGUUGUCCUUGUGGUGGAACUGAAGUAACAUUCAAGUCCAGGGUGUGAAUGCCAUCUUGUCUUCCUCAGGCAGCAAAUUGCCUUGAGCUAGGCCUUGUACUGGCUUACUUGAACUUUGCUUCAGUCUGAGGUUGGUCCACUAGAAUGCAGUGUUUCACCAAGCUAAGCCUGCCCCCACUUGCCCUCUCUUUACUUACAACCAUUUCAAGGAGAAGCAGGCACUGUCAUCUCCCUCUUCUUUAAUAUCACACUUGCCCUUUUAGAACUGAGUGGGGAGGGGGAGGAGGUGAACAAACCCCAAAUUGGCUUUGCCUAUCCUUUGCUCUGGCUCCACCUAGUGUUGGCCUCCGUGCCUUGUACCCUACCAGUCUCAAUUGGCAUCUACCUCCACUGCUUGCUUUUCCGUCUCAAUAUGAGGUACCCAGGAUGCUUUACCACAGAUCAAAAAUGUCUAUAAUAAUAAUAAUUUAUUAUUUAUACCCCACCUGACUGGGCUUCCCCAGCCACUCUGGGCGGCUUCCAACAAAAUAUUAAAAUACAGUAAUGUAUCAAACAUUAAAAGCUUCCCUAAACAGGGCUGCCUUCAGAUGUCUUCUAAAAGUCUGGUAGUUGUUUGACAUCUGGUGGGAGGGCUUUCCACAGGGUGGGUGCCACUACCGAGAAGGCCCUCUGCCUGGUUCCCUGUAACUUGGCUUCUCGCAGUGAGGGAACCGCCAGAAGGCCCUCGGCGCUGGACCUCAGUGUUCGGGUAGAAUGAUGGGGGUGGAGACUCUCCUUCAGAUAUACUGGACUGAGGUCAUUUAGGGCUUUAAAGGUCAGCACCAACACUUUGAAUUGUGCUUGGAAACGUACGGGGAGCCAAUGUAGGUCUUUCAAGACCGGUGUUAUGUGGUCUCGGCGGCCGCUCCCAGUCACCAGUCUAGCUGCCACAUUCUGGAUUAGUUGCAGUUUCCGGGUCACCUUCAAAGGUAACCCCACAUAAAGCACAUUGCAGUAGUCCAAGUGAGAGAUAACCAGAGCAUGCACCACUCUGGCAAGGCAGCCCGCAGGCAGAUAGGGUCUCAGCCUGUGUACCAGAUGGAGCUGGUAAACAGCUGCCCUGGACACAGAAUUGACCUGUGCCUCCAUGGACAGCUGUGAGUCCAGAACGACUCCCAGGCUGCACACCUGGUCCUUCAGGGGCACAGUUACCCCAUUCAGCACCAGGGAGUCCUCCACACCCACCCACCUCCUGUCUCCCCAAAACAGUACUUCUGUCUUGUCAGGAUUCAAUCUCAAUCUGUUAGCCACCAUCCAUAUGCUGCUGUUUUAGUUUGUGUUUGACUUGACACAAAGCAGCAGCUAUUAACAGUCAAAUAAAAUCAGCAGAGAAGAUCAGGUCAAACUUCCACAGUGACAACAACUGAAGCAGCCAAUACGGCAAAAGGCCUACAAGAAGUCUUCGGUCUGACACCUGGAUCCCUCAGGGAACUAAGCAUCCAAAGCCUGGAGACUGCAAGAGAGAAAGCUCUGUCUUGCGUACCUGGAAGCCAUGUCAGAUAUUGGCAGGACACACAACGGGGGGAAAUCAUACUCUCCUAGUUUUAGGCAUUUGGAAAUGCCUCGGUUCUCACACAAAGAUUCAACCUACCUAUUUGUCAAUAACAGAAAGAUAAUAGUUGGCAUAUGGAUGGGCAUGGAGCAGCUUUCUCCAGCGUGGUGCCUUCCAGAUGGUCUGAACUAUUUAUUUUAUUUAUUUCAUUAAAAUUAUGUACUGCUUGAUUGUAGAAAAAACCCCAACACAGUUUACAAAGAAGAUAAUACAAUAAAAUACUCUCUAAAAAUUUACAACUAUAAUUUAAAACACAGAGAAGGUUAAAACUGCAAUAAAAUAGACUAAAACAAAUUAAACGUCAUACCAAUUUUCUAAGCAUCUGGGUAGGCUUGUCUAAAUAAGAAUGUCUGGCUGGGGCUGAUGGGAGUUGUAGUUCAAAACCUCAGGAUGACACCAGGGUUGGCAAGGACUCGUAUAGAGGAACAAUAAUACGGCAAGCUGGUAAGGGUAGGGGAACAAGCCAGGUUUAUUGUUAGGAAAUCAUGUGGAUAAGCUUAAGAAAUGCUAUGCUUAAAUGUUAUAUUACAUUAUGCUGAAAAAUACAGUUUCUUGUCCUUAAGAACAUUUUUGUCACAGGUAGUUUGUAGCUUGGUCUUCUACAUGCUUACUUCAGAAUAUGUCCAAUAAAUGUUUUAAAACCCCCAAUGCCCUUCUCAGAAAAUGAUUAUGAAAGAAGAGAAGGGCUCCAUUUCCUGUUCUGUCCUAUUCAAUAAAGUUGCAAUGCUUUUCAUGAGCAAAUAAAAUUUAAAAACAGUAAGCAUACUUUUCCUCCUUUGGAAUUGAUUCCCAUCCUUCUGCCUAAUUGCUAUCAACAUUGUAAUGGAAAUCAUAUUGCAAUAUUGAUUAACAGUGGUUGCAUUUUCCAAUUAUUUCUCUAAUGAGUUAAGUGGCAAUGACCCAGAAAAUGGACCAAGACCUCACUACAGACUAAUGUUAAUUUGGUUUAAAUUGUUAUUUUCCCCCCUCUUCCAGCAAAUAAUGAUGAGAGACGCCUACUGUUAAUUAAUCAAAAAACUUCUCAAGAUAGAGUUCACCAGGUGGAAAUAAUUAGGCUUUAAUUGUGUCUUGUUUAUUACUCUUCAGAGAUGUAAACAAGAAAAGCUGGGUUCGUUUGACAGUCGUUACUAAAAAGCUUCGUAAUAAAUAAAUCAGAGGCAACAGUGUUGUGAUUAUGUCAUGAAUAUUUGUUCUUCUGCAUUUGUUCUGUGAGUCAGUUUGACAGGUGAAGAACUGGUAAUUUCCCUUUAGAAUUAAAAUAUCAGAUCAGCAGGUGGGAACAUUUGCCUUUUGUUUCAUUCUCUUCCUUUUUUGUUUAUUGUUUUCAAAUUGCUUAACUGACUGGCAGAAAGAUACAACUCGUUGUCAGAUGGAAUAACUUUUAAUGAUGGAAUUCACAGACAAUGAAGAAAUUUCGGUUGCACCUGCAUUUUGAUUUGAACAAAGGUACUUGAAAUUUGGGAGGAGGAAAAACCCAACAAAAACCCAAUCUUCACAACUGUCUACUUUAAGG
Podarcis lilfordi (Lilford's wall lizard) is the source of this 64849-nucleotide non-coding RNA. NCBI's taxonomy places the organism in Eukaryota, Metazoa, Chordata, Lepidosauria, Squamata, Lacertidae. The record is from the annotation of a GenBank genome assembly.